GUUGAUGCAGUAUGUACAUAUGGUGUAAAUAAAAAUUGAUGGGUAUGUCUUAUGUAUAUCCGAAGAUGCCACAUCUUUGCUUACGCGAUCUUUCCUGGAAGAACAGUCUUGGAGACUAGCCAAUCUGAAUAUCACACACGUCGAUACAAAUAGGAUAAUUUUCUUGGUCGCUAAGCCAGUCCAUAAAGUACACGAACUUACUUCUUUUCGUGUCCCCCACAAAUUGUAUCGUCCAAGUUCACAUUACCAGAAGCCUAUAAAUAACACAUUCAUUCAUUCGUUCAUUCAUUACUCCUUAUCUUCCUGAUCAUCCUCAACUUCAUCGUCUUGUACGAGCUUGUUUUCCUUCUUCUGCUGCAGUGUAUAUUAUACCCACAACUUUAACCGCAUCAUACUCAUAUAUCUACAUUGAUUCAUUAUCUUCUGUUUCAAGCUUAGCCAUGGCAACAGCAUCUGGUUUUGGAGGAACUACUCUAGCAGAAGUUUAUGUCAUGAGAAAGUUACAUAAAGAAAAGAUGAAGGAACUCAUGAAGAAAGAAGCAGCAGCAGAGAGAGGAGUUGCUAAGGAAAAGAAAAUCAAGAAAUCCAGUGGUUCUUUCUUUGGGGUUUUCAAGAAGGGCCAUUCUGCCAAAGUCUCUUCAGGUGAAGAUCUUGGAAGUUAAGUCUGCAUUUGGUUGUCUUGAAGAAAACGCUGUUUCUAGUCAUGCUAUAUAUUUGCAGUUUAGGCCUAUGAUUAACGAUUAACAUCUUUCUUUAAUUUGUUUGAGGAUAUUAAAGUUCUUAAUAUAGAAAAGAAAAAUCCAAGAUGAGGAAUGUUAUUGUUUUAUAUGUUUGUUGAAAUAUUGGAUCUCAUCUCUUGUAAAAAGAUUGUCUUCUCAAUUAUAUUUUGUUCACAAUAGCUAAUUCUUGUAUACCGUUUUCUAUUUUAACUAAUUCUUUUUUUUUUUCUUUAAUUUUUUCAAUAUUUGAAGAACGGGAUUGAGAAUCAAAGUCACCUUAUAUGAAAUGAGUACCGUUUUAAAUUAGCUCUAAAAGGAUUUGGGAAAUUCCUUUCAAUGAUAACAAGUGACAUGAGAAUCAUUAGAUGCCCCAUUCAACUAAAAUUAAAAUUUAGAUGCCCAAUUAUUAAAAUUUAAAAAGUUCAAGAUCCAAAUAUGUAAUUAUCUAUAUACAUAUAUACAUAUAUGCUGCAUUGCUAUGCUAUAUAUAUAUAUAUAUGCCGCCCACUGCAUGCCACGUAUUUGCUUACGCAACAAUCUUGGAAACAAGCACUCUGAAUCUCACAUAUGUUUAAACAAACAGUAGUCUAAUUUUCUUGGUGGCGAAGCCAAUCAACAAUUUUCUUUUUCCUGCAUCAUAUAUUCAUGUCUAGAUUGAUUAUCCGGUUUUGGAGGAACUACUCUAGCAGAAGUUUAUGUCAUGAAAAAGUUACAUAAAGCAAAGAUGAAGGAAUUUAUGAAGAAAGAAGCAUCGGAGAAAGGAGUUGCUGUUGCUAAUGAAAAGAAGAGGAAGAAAAUUGCGGUUCUUUCUUCAGGGUCUUCAAGAAGCGUCAUUCUGCUAAAGUCUCUUCAAAUAAAGAUUAUGGAAGUUCAGUGUGCCUAAGGCUGUCUUGAAGAAAAUACUGUUUCUUGCCAUACUAAGGAUUAUAAAUCUUUCUUUUUAAUUUAUUUUAGGGCUUUUAGUUGGCAUAUUCAAAGUAUUGUAAAAAGAAAAUGUUCUCAAUUAUAUAUCUUGUUAGACUUCUGGGAAUCUUAUUCCUGGUACAUUUUUCUAAUAUUAACUUUUCUUUUACAUUUAAUUUUGUCAAUGUUGAAGAUGGUGAUUGAUUUGAGAUUCAACUCCACCUUAUGAAAUUAGUAGCACUCUAAACUAGCACUUUUGCGAGUUGAGUAAUUGAUUAAGUAAUGGAAGUUUCCUAAAGGAUUGGGUUUAACCCCAAAUCAUCCAAAAGGGAGAGUCCUUUAUCAGAGCCAAACUUGCAAAAGAAUCAUUCAUCCAAUAAUAACAAGUGACAUGAGAACCAUUUACUUUAUAUAUGGAUAGAAGAGUCCCACUCUUUUAAGCCUUUUGUACCAACUUAUCAUAUAAUUUAUUAGGUGUUUUUCUUUCAAUGGAAUAUUAUUUUAACUAACACUUACUGAAUUGAGAUACCAGUUUCAUUGUAUAAUUUCUCUUUCUUUUAGCCCUUUUUGUGCUCCUGAAUUGAAUUUCAGUUACUUCCAUCGCUAAUAUUUUUCUAAUUUGUUACCAUUGUUCAUGCAAAAAAAAAAAAAAAAAACACUACCAAAAUCCAUCUUCAAUCACUUUCAUGGGCACUUUUCAGGGCUUAAAGGGCAAUUUGCCCCCCAAACCUAGACACGAUUGCCAAUUUAUCCAUUCUUUAAAACUUUUUAGCCCAUCAACCCUCAUACUUAUCAAAAGUGGUCUAAAUACCAAUUUUUUAAUCUGUUAAUGAUGCGUGAAAUUCAAUUUCACUCUAAAGCCUGUAAAUUCUUUUUAUUGAAUAAUAUUUUGUAAAAAAGUUGAUUUUAAAAAAACAAAGUUUCUUAUUAUUGAUUUUUUAGCUAAAUCAAAAUCAUAAUGAACAGAAGAAAUAUUUAAAUAAAAAAUUAACAAUUUUAUAACCCAAAACUAAAAUCCAGCAAACACCAAAUCCUCUGUCUAUCUAAAAUCAAAACUAAGAAUGAAAAAAAAAAAUUCUUAGAAUCAACAUAAUAAAUCGAAACAAAAUGCUUUCCUUCUUUACAAACAAUCCCACAAAUAGUCCCAUUUCCUGCAUAACAUCCACCUCCACCAAUUUGUUGUUUUUUUACCGUCCUUAAUAUCCUCUUCCACUGCCAACAUCAUAUCAUCAUCACUUCCACUCUUAAAUUUGCACAUCAUAUUAUUGCUUAUGUUCUCUUUUUUUUUUCUUCAUGUUGAUGACAUUCUAGUUCUUGAUUUCUUAAUCUUGGUCUAUAUAGUUUUUUUUUUUUUUGUUAAUAAUCUUCCUGAUUUGGGUAGCUUGAAAGACAUUGGUACAAAUCAAAAGAGAUUAGGAGAGAAUGGACACAAAUCCAAAAGGACUGGUAUGAAGAUUGAAUAAACUCUUCAUGGAUUUAUAUUUUAUUUAUUUAUAUAUAUGUAUAUAUUUAAUAUUUUUAAUGAGUAAAUCUGAGUUCGCAAGACAUGCGCCACUUUAAAGCUAAUUGAUGGGUAAAAUGACCACUUUUGACAAAUUGGUGGAUAAAAUAACAAAAAAUUAAAAUAUAGGUGAUUUGUGUAUUGGCCCCAAUUUGCCCUUUAAGCCGCUUUUCAGUGAUACUCUUUUCUUAAUAUUGGGCUUCCAAACACAGGCAACAAGUAUUUUAAUGGUUGUAGCCCAUCAACUAUUGGGCUAGAGUUCAUUAAACAAACCCUUUUUUUCUUUUCUUUUCUUUUUUCCUUUUUUAACAAAUUCAAAAGAAUGCUGUUAUUUACAACAUGUAUUCAGUAUAUAUAAGUAGACCUGUUCAUGGGCCGGGCUUGGGCAGGUUCGGGCCGGGCCUGACCGGACUUGACUUUAUUUUGAACAAGCCCGAGCCUGCCCAAGCCCGAGAAUUUUUUAAUAUCUUUUAGCCCAAGUCCGAGCUCGAAAUUUUUUAAAAAGCUCGGCCCGGCCCGAGCAAUUGUUAAACCUAUAAAUACGGAUCGGGUCUGGGCGGGUUCGGGUCGGGCUUGGCGGGUUCGGAUCGGGCUUGAGUUUAAUUUUAUUUAAAUAUAUUAUUAAUAACAAUAAAAUUAUAAACAGAACUAAUAGGUAGCUAAUUGGUAUGUAGCACUUAAUUAUAAGUUGAAGGUCGAAAGUUUGAAUGCUAGGUAUGACGUUUUUUUUUUCCUAAUUAAACUAAACAUCGGGCCGGGUCGGGUCUGGUUUGGGUUUUUAUGAAAAUUCCAAGCCCGGCCCGAAAAAUUUGGGCUUUUUAUGGGUUCGGGUCGGACUAGACUUGUACACAAAAAUUAUUGUUCAAGGCCGGCCCAAAGAGUGCGGGCCUGGGCGGGUACCCAGGCUCAUGAACAGGUCUAGAUAUAAGUACUGAAUUUAGUACAAUUUUUUUGGGUGAAAUCUGCGAGUUCUAACAGUCAAUCUUACAUCCCACAAAAAAAAAAAAACAGAACUUUUGACUUCUAUCCUUCUCCCUGUAUUAAUACAAAAUGUAAUAGUAUAUGAAUGAAUUGGAUGACAUAUAAGAAAAUAGAUUUUGAGAUUCCAUGGGAAUCAUUAAGGUGAAAGAAAAGAAAAAAAAAUUAUUUCAAAAUCCAAAACCCACUUUAACCCAAGAAUUAUAUAUCCUAACUCCCUUAAACCCAAUAAUUAUAUCUCAUAAUGGCAUCAUUUUCCAUUGUAAGCUUCCUUUUUAUUGAUGGGUCCUGUCCUAAAAACUUUCUCCUUCGAAGUCAUUUCUUUAAUUACCAAAUGUCAUAUGUACUCAUAAAACCCACACUCUAUGGGACUCAGGUCAAGAAAGGCACUUACGAAUAAUAAAACCAUUUUCAGAAGAUCUUAAAAGUGGGAGUUGUUGAAUGAUACCCUUUGUCUAAAUUCACUUUCUCAAUAGCUAGGAAAGAUUGCUAAUUAGGCAAAUGGGUAGGACCCAUAAUUUAAGAUCAUCAUAUUAAGGAGAACCAAAUCACUAAAGAAACCCAUUAAGCCUAAAGUUUUACAACAUAAUCCCUUUUGUUUUUGUUUGUUUUGCAUUUCUUUUUAGGGGUCAUUAGCACUUUGCCUUUCUUCCUUUUCAGUCUUUUUCUAAUUCCACACAAUUGAACAGUGAAUACGAGGAUCUUUAUAGAUGUAAUGCACGUGAUAAGAAAGGGGGUUAUCACGUGAUAAAGGGCCAUUGGCUUAGCUGUGAAGAUAUAAUGCUAAUCUCAUCCGACUAGAAACCAAUAGACUAGACCAUACCCAUGUGCUUUUGUGUAUAUUUAAAUUACAAGUAGACCCCAUUGAUGCAAAAAUUUCCAUGCCUAAAUUCUUGCAUUCUUGAAAUUGAACCCACUGCUCAUCAAUCACCACUUGUUUGUUGCUUCAUAUUUUGGCUACCUUACACCUCCUAUUUGUCUAUUUUCCCUUUUGAUCAAUCAUCCGAUCAAUGUAUAAAAAAAAAAAAAAGCAACUUUAAAUUUGUUUCACCAUAAGAGAACAAUAUAAAUCGAUUCGAGUUAUUUUACUAUUUUAAAUAAAAUUACAUGUAAAUUUUAAAAUUAAAUAUAAUUUUUUAUUUUUAUAUAUUUUAUAACUCGAAAAGAAUAUGUAAUUAUUAUUACCUAUGGGGGUUCGGUCAAUAAUGUACUAUUUCAAUAAUUUACACCGAUUCCUUUUAUGAAGCUUGGCCUGGCUAGUCGAAGUACACAUGCAACAAUGUACAAAAUUUUCUUUUUUUUCAAGAGGGAUAUGUUUUUCAAUCCUGCAAUAAUAAUAUUGCAUCCGGAAAGAGCUAACAUUCUUAUCUUCGAAUGCAAAAUAUUGAAUAACUCAUGAUGAUUCUGCAACAGCCAGAAGAAUCCAAUUGCUAAAUCUGGUCCGAAACAUGUCCCCAGACCCUCCAAAGUGGAAACUAGUCAGUCUUGAUUAGUCAAUUACAACCCUCUGUUCUGUCACAUAUGGUGGUCCUGCGUAGCCAAUUGCAGCCCCCAGCCAAAAAAAAAGAAAAGAAAAGACUCAUAAUUUUUAUUAACAAUGUGGCUUAACUCGCUGGUUAUCCGAUCCAUUUAAGUGUAAAUUGUCAAAAUAAUUUAAUUAAAUUUAAUCAAAAUGUGCUAAGCCUAGUGUAAUAAUUAAUAUAAUAAUACCAGAUAUUCAUUUAAAAUAUUUGAAACAGUUUACGGUUUAAUUAUACAUAUCUUUUAAACCAAAACUUUAUUAAUACAUCUUAAUGUCUUUCCCAUACAGGGCGCAGCUCUGGGUUAUAAUAGUAAUUUACACAUUAGGCACAUGUCAUCAUGAUCAAAUAUAUUUAUAUAAUAAUUAAUCAACAAUGUCAAGCUGACAACAACAGUUUUCCAUGCUUUGGCGGGAUGUCUCUUUUCUUUAAUACCAUAUUAUUUAUCAUUCCUUCUCCAUCUUUACUAAAAAAAAUCCUUUACGACUGAUAGUAGAUAUUUCACCUUCAAUUUCACCUCCAUCUCACCUUAUUAAUUAAUUAAAUCCCAUUUCUUCUCUUAUAAUCUCUUUUUAUCAACCAAAAAUUCACUCUUUUCCGAAAAUCCCAACAACCCAAAUUAAUAAAAUAAAAAACACAACACAGUUCCUUGGAAAUCUCCUUCUCUCUCUUUCUCUCUCCCUCUCUCUGUCUGAAGCUAAGACAAAGAAAGAGAACCUUCUCUGUAAAGAUUCCCUAUUCUCGCUUCCACAUUAAGCACCCGGCAGAUCCGUCAAUUGGUACCUAACUAACCCCUCAUUUUAUUCAAACACUAAUACUAAAGUUUAAGUUUUUAUGUCAAAUCUUUGAAUAAAGUUUCUUAAUUUAAACUACCCAUGAUCUAAAUCUCAAGUAUUUGCUUAAAUCUCUUUGUUUUACUUCACUACAUUUUCUGGGUUCUGCAUUUCUUUAGUUAAAGUUCUAAUACUGGUAAAUGCAGUACUGUUUCUUUUGCCUUUUCUUUGUAUUAUUAUUUUUGUUUUGUUUUGUUUCUUAAGAAAUUUUAUUUUAUUUUAUUAUUUUGAAGCUUUCUUGAAGUAGACUUUCAAGGGUGCAUAUUUUUCUACAUUUAGCUAGACAUUUUGGUUUUUUGGAUUCUUUUUUACUCUUUGUUCUUUUGUGUCAGUCUUUUUUUGACCCUCUUUAAGUCUUUUACUGUGGAGUAGUAGCGGGUGCGUUUUUGGUGCUUGUUUGUCGUUUUAUGAGGUUGAGAUUUUGAAAAUCACUGUAUUCUUGUAGGGUUUGGAUCGUGGUGUGUCUUCUCUAGUUGGCAUUUUGAUAUAUCUUUUUUGGGGUUGACAAUUUAAGAAUGUUUAUGCCUCAUUGAAGCAGGUAUGAUCUACAAUUAGCUUAAAAUUUGUUACUUUUGUUCUCUUUAGCUGCAAUUUUGACUUGCAUUUGUUUUACCUUCUGUUUGGUUUCUGAGGAAAUGGACAAAAGGCAUGGAGUUGUUGCAAGUAGUUGGAUCUUGUCUUGUUUAGUGCUUUCUGGUUUUCCUUGGGAUCAGUGAUAGUGUCUGGGUCAAGGAUUUUGUAUCUGCAUUUGAGUUAGUUUUUUAUCCUGAUUGUGUUAUAAUUGAGGAAAGAGAUUUAUAAGAUACCAGAGAUGACACUUUACUAUUUGAAUUUGUUAUUAAUGGUUAUUUGUUUUCAUGCAAUGUUCAUUUGCUGCUGAAUUAACUUAAUACGUUAGUUAGUACUGGCGUGGUUGCAAUUAAAUGUGUUUGUUAUGACUUAGCUGUAGUUUACUGGUUCUUAUGCUGCCAUGGUUCUGUGAUCGGUUUUGUAUUUUUUAGUACUGCAAUUAUGUUUUCUAAAUGUACUUUUGGCUGUCCAUUUUUCAGUAGUUACACCUGAUACUUUUAGGUGCCGGGCUGUCUUAGUUGAAGUUUGCCUCAAGUUCUUUGUUUCCUUCAUUGUUUACUUUUUUUAUUUAUCUACAUAAAAUUUCUUGAUAACCUGCUUGCUGAAGUCUCGGGAAAUCAUCACAAUUCACAAUUCUCCAUGAUGGCUAUCCAGCUUGUUGGUUGCUGCUUCCAAAGAGAAUUUCAUUUGAACAAAAGCAUCAAUUCUACUUUCUUUGCCUGGUGAAUCUAACUAUCUUAUUGGUUCUGAACUGUUAUGCAGCUGAUGAUAGAUUAAUGUUCCAGUCAUGUCGAGGAUCACUAAAUGGAAGCUUGAGAAAACAAAAGUAAAGGUUGUCUUCCGGCUACAGUUUCAUGCUACACAUGUAAGUGUGCUCUCCUCAGUGUUAACAUCUGUAUGUGGCUGAUAACUAUUGUGUCUAUUGAUGUACUGGUACUGUAUUUUUGGUUUUAUAUAAUUUUCUUAAAGAGCUUCAUCAGAAUCAAGAUUCAUUUUGGUGUGAAAAAAGUUCGUAGAAGAGUUUAACCAGUUAGGUUCCUGCAAGGAUACCCCAUUGGUAAAAGCUUGAAAUCUAUAUCAGUAGGUUUCAAGUUUGAAUACCCAAGUCCCUAAAGAGAGAAUGACCCCUCAUUUUUUUGUACUCAUAAUUUUACUCUAUAGACAAAAUUCACUGGAAAGGUUUAACAAGCUAGGUUCCUGCAAGGAUAUCCCAGUGGUAAAAGCUUGAAAUCUACAUCAUUAGGUUUCCAGUUUGAAUUUCCUAGUCCCUAGGGAGAGAAUUACCCCCCUAUUAGGUUUAACAAGCUGCUCAUACUCGUCAGGCCAUAGGCCAAUAGUCUAUCAGAGACUGAUCAUAACCUAAUAGGCUAGAAUCUAUAAAUUAUUGGCCCAACAACCGGAGGUGAGGUUGGGCCAAAGUCAGUUCCUAGGUAUUAGUAGAAAUUCAUAUAGGUUCACAUAAGCACAUUAAAUCACAAUCCUUUUCCAGUGUGGGAUGGGAGGCUACAUUUAGUUUUGAUAUUUCACAGAAAUGUUGAAGCAUGCAUAUCUUAAUAUGAGCAUGAUAUUUGUAAGCUUAUUAUGACAGCAGUUCCUAAGUGCAUGUUUCAUGCUUGAUUACAGAACUAGUAUUUUGUGUAUGCAUAAAGAGUUUAUGGACUCUACCAUGACUGAAUGACUCGUUUUUCUCUGGCGAUGCAGAUCCCACUAGUGGGAUGGGAUAAACUUUUUAUAUCUUUUAUUCCUGCUGAUUCGGGAAAGGUAACAUCAAAGACAACCAAAGCCAGUGUGAGAAAUGGGACCUGUAAGUGGGCAGAUCCCAUCUAUGAGACUACCAGACUUCUCCAAGAUAUUAAAACCAAACAAUAUGAUGAAAAGCUCUAUAAGCUUGUUAUAGCAAUGGUAAUCUCUUACUUCCUGAUUCUGUGGACUAGUUUUUUCUAUGGUCCCUUGGCACCUUUAUGACAUAUACUUCUUUGAUCUGAACCUGUUUAACAUGCAUCAGGGUUCAUCACGAUCUAGUAUACUUGGUGAGGCUACCAUCAACCUUGCUCAUUAUGCCGAUGCAUUGAAACCUUUUGUCAUUGCCUUGCCUCUUCAUGGAUGUGAUUCUGGCACAAUUUUACAUGUGAGAAAUUCUGAACCUCAUAUGUCUUUAGCAAGUUAGUCUAUUAAUACUGCUAAAUGAGCCAUUUACAAUAAGAUUAAUGGGCAUGUUCAUGGCUUACACUAACUUGUUGCUUGUUUUCUACAUAUGUGCAUAAUUAGAGAGAUUUUUAUCAUAAUACUCCCAUAAGAUGUUGAAUUUUGUUAUCCAUUCACAGGUGACGGUGCAGCUGCUUACAUCUAAAACUGGUUUCAGGUAAAACUUCAUAACAUGUAAACGCCAUAUUUCAUCCAUUUCAGCCUGCACUUAUGGGUGGUAAUUGCUUUCAGAGAGUUUGAGCAGCAGAGAGAACUUAGAGAAAGGGGCCUACAAACUGACCAACAUAGUCCUGAUGAAUCAUCUGGUCGCAAGGUAUCAUCUUCGGUAGAGACCAUCACUGAGCAGAUAGAUAAGGACCAUAAGGUUUGAUCUGUUUUCUUUGUAAUGCCUUCUUUAUCGCGCAUGAUAACUGAUUUCUUCUCAAUUUGCUUUGUUAGACAUGACCAGGAUGGAAGUUUUAGUCUCGAACAUGCAUGCCUUUCUUCCUAUGCAGACGUGCUGUGUAAGAUUUAAAAAAAGAAAAGGGCAAUAAGGUCCCUCUAUGCUGUACUUGCAAGAUGUCAGUGGAUGGUAUCAAAAAAUUAUGUUAGCCAAAAGAUGAAAGUGAAAUUUUGAAUUUGAAGUUUGUGAGAGUGUCUUUUUGCACAUCAUAAUAUGUUGUCAACGUACUUGAUGGGUUCCUUUCCAAGAUCCAAUAGGGUGCCUUGUCACUUUAACUAUAAAUUGAUGGAAUAAUAGGAAGACUGCAUGUAUUUUUGCUAAUUUGAAUUUAUCAAUUGGUGCUCUUUUCUUUCCAACUAAUACAUACUGAUUUUAAAUUUCUCUGUCUCGUGUUUUUCAUUCUAUAUUCUUUUCCUCACUUUAGGCACAUACAAGAGUUAAAUUCAGAGAAAAAUCUAAAGAUCUUUCUUCGCUCGAGGAAGAGGUGGUGCCAACUGACGAAUAUGCAGACUCAGGUGUUGGAUUUGAUGGCUCUUCCAAUACCUCAGAAAGUUUAUAUGCCGAGAAGCAUGAAACAUCUAGCACACAUGAAAUCGAUAGCCUAAGAAGUACUGUAUCUGGUGAUUUAGCUGGAAUUUCCCCCAGUCAAAGUCCGCAGCUGGAGAAAGGGGAUCCUCCUGAUAAUCGGUUUUCAGUGCAGGGAACCAACGAUUGGGUUCAGGGCUGGAGUUCAGACUACUCUGUGGAUAAUGACUUGGCAGCUGCUUAUGAAGAGAACAGUAGGCUCAGAGGCAGCUUGGAAGCAGCUGAAUCCUCUAUUCAUGAACUGAAAAUGGAGGUCAGCUCGUUGCAGAAUCAUGCUGAUGAAAUAGGUCAUGAAGCACAAAAGUUUGCUAAGGAACUUGCUGCUGAGAUUGCUUCUGGAGAAGAUCUGGUAAAUGAAGUGUCUGUGCUGAAAUCAGAGUGCUCAAAGUUGAAAGAUGAUCUUGAACAGUUAAAGAUUUCCAAAUUAUGCCCUUCCUUUAUCGACAGGGAAGCUUUUGGGGCAGAACAGGAUCAAAUAUCUCUUAGAUGGCUAAAGGGGCUUUUGGCCAUGGAAGAUAAGAUAAGAGAGCUUCAAAAUAAGGCAUGCCUUGGCUACAAUGAAAGAGACCUUAGAAUCUUUCAAUCAGACAUAGAGGCAUUGCUUGAUGUCUUGCAGAAUCUCAAGCAAGGAAGCGGACUCACAGUUUCCAGUCCCAACUUGAUUUUGUCUGAAGGAGCUAGCUUGAAGGAGAUUAGAGAAAUGAGUCCAUAUAAAAAUGGCCAGUUUGCAACAGGGACUGGGUUUGAUGUGGACUUAUAUCAACCAGAAGGCAUGCUUCAUUGUCUUAACAUACCUAACCUGAUUUCCCAUGAAUCUGACACUGUAGAUACUACCAAUGCAAUGAAGAACAAAAUUUUUGAACUUCUGAGAGAGUUGGAUGAUUCAAAAGCAGAACGGGAGAGCCUUGCAAAGAAAAUGGACCAGAUGGAGUGUUACUAUGAAGCCCUUGUCCAGGAACUUGAGGAAAAUCAGAGGCAGCUACUUCAAGAGCUGCAAAAUCUCAGAAAUGAGCACUCAACUUGCCUAUAUGCAAUUUCAUCAACUAAGGCUGAUAUGGAGUCCAUGCAUCAAGGCCUUAACGAGCAGAUAUUAAGACUUGCCGGAGACAAACAUGAUAUGGAAUCCUUCAACAAAGAGCUUGAAAGAAGAGCUUUAACUGCAGAAGCAGCACUGAAGAGGGCACGGUUGAAUUAUUCUAUCGCUGUGGAUCAGUUACAGAAGGACCUGGAACUGCUUUCUUUCCAGGUUUUGUCUAUGUAUGAGAGUAACGAGAACCUCAUCAGGCAAGCCUUUGUAGAUUCUUCACCACCAAACAGUCGAGGAUGUGAUUCAGGGGAAUAUGCAGUGAAACUCUUGCAGUUCGAAAAUCAAUCCGCUGGGAUAAGGAAACAGCAGUUGGGUGGAGAUAUUCAUUUAGAUGAAUUGAAGAGAUCGCUACACCUACAGGAAGGGCUCUACCGGAAGGUUGAAGAAGAAGUUUGUGAAAUGCAUUUUGUGAAUAUCUACUUGGAUGUGCUUUCAAAGGCUCUCCAGGAAACCUUGGUUGGUGCUUGUGAAGAUGUACAACAUCUGAAAGAGAAAGUAAAUGAACUUACACAACAGCUAGAGCUUUUGGGUAACUCGAAGCAGUUACUGAUACAAAAGCUGCAGAUUGCAAUGGAUGAGGUUCACUCUCUCAAUGAGUACAAGGCUGCUUGCAUUGCUAAAUGCAAUGAUAUGGCUCUAGAAAACCAAACUUUGGGAGCAGAUUUACAAAAUAUGAGCCAUGAAAAUCAUCUUCUUAUGCAGAAAAUUGCUGAAUGGAAAUCUAUGGUGAUUGAAUACAGAGGUUAUGAGGAAAAGUUAGAGGCAUAUGCUGCAGAGAAUGGAGAGUUGACAUGCUUACUGGAGAAGAAAACCCUAGAAAUUGGGAUUCUUCAGAAUGAAAACAUCUCUUUGCAGGAUGAGUUGAAAACUAUCAAAAUUGAGUUUGCUGAGCUGGCUUCUGGAAAUGAAAAUUUGCAGAAUUUUGUUAAUUCUCUUCAAAAUAAAUUACAGAACUUACUGCUGUCCUAUGACAAAAGUAUCAUUGAAAUUCAUCUCGUUAGUGAAUCUAGCAGUCAGGAUUUGCAGAACAAGGACUUACCAGGUCUACUGAUGCAAUUAGAAGAGCUUCAGCAUAAUGCAUGUAAUAAGAUUCUCCAGCUUGUAGAAGAGAAGAAAUAUUUAAUGCAUGAAAAAGAUGUUGCACAACUGUCCAUUACUGCAGCUGAAUCAGAUACUGCUUCAAUGAAAUGGAAGUUUGAACAUGAAAUAAGGAACAUGGUGGAGAAAUUAGAUAAAUCAAAUGUUUUACUGCAGAAGCUUCAGUUAGAUGUUGAGGCUUUUGCUAACAGACUCGGUGUUAGCUCUGAACUGGAAGAAAAGUAUGCACAGCAGCAGAAUGAGCUUUUCUCUGGUAUUGAUCAAUUAGAAGUUGAGCUACAAGAACUUACUUCCAAGAAUAGGGACCUUGCUAACGAAAUCAUUGCAUUAGAGACUGGGACAGCAGCAGAACUUACAAAGGAAAAUCAAGCUUUAACAGUAUAUCUACAGGAUAAAAAUGAGGAAUCAAGCAAGCUUUCAUCAGAACUGAAGAGCUUGAAAGAAAGUCUGCAAUCUCUCUAUGAUGAGAACAUGGCUCUGAUAGCAUCUUCACAUGAUAAAAUGGAGAAGUCUGCUCAGCUUGCUUCAGAGGUAGAUGGCUUAAAGAGUAGCUUGCAAUCUCUGCGUGAUGAAAACCAAGCUUUGAUGGUAGCUUCACAGGAUAAAGCUGCAGAAGCUGCUAAGCUCGAAUUGGAGCUAAACAGCUUGAAAGGAAAUUUGCAAUCUGUGAAUGAUGAAAACCAAGCUUUGAUGGUGAUCUCAAGGGAUAAAACUGAGGAAUGUGCGAAACUUGCAUCUGAGCUUAACAAUUUGAAAGAAAGCUUGCAGUCUCUGCAUGAUGAUAAAAAAGCUUUGGUUUUGUUAUCACAGGAUAAAAUGGAGGAAUCUGCCAAACUUACAUCAGAGCUGAACCUGUUAAAAGAAACUUUGCAAUCGUUGCUUGAUGAAAAACAAACUUUAAUGGCAUCUUCCCUGGAUAAAACUGAGGAAUCUGCCAAUCUUGGUUUGGAGCUAAACUGUUUGAAGGGAGGCUUGCAAACUCUGCAUGAUGAAAAUCAUGUUUUGAUGGCAGCUUUACAAGAUAAAACUGAGGAAGCUACCAAGCUUGCAUCAGAACUAAAAAAAUUGAAAGAGAGUUUGCAAUCUCUGUAUGAGGAGAAUCAAGUUCUGGUAACAUGUUCACGGGAAAAAUCUGAGGAAUCUGCCAAACUUACGGCAGAGUUAAACAGUUUGAGAGAUCAUCUGCAAUCCCUAUGCAAUGAAAACCAAGCUUUGGCGGUGUCUUCAAGGGAUAAAAAGGAUGAGUCUGCCCAAUUUGCAGGAGAGCUGAACUGUCUGAGAGAAAGUUUGCAAUCUCUGCAUAAUCAGUUGCAUGGUGAGAGAAGCUUGAGAGAGGGUUUAGAAAGUAAAGUUACUGAUCAAAUUUCCAAAUUAAAUGAGAAGGAGUAUCAAGUACUCCGUCUCAACAAAUCAGUGUCAGACCUAGAAUCAGAGAAUUUAAGAGUUUGCAGUCUUUUGUCUCACUAUGAGGAUAGCCUUAAAAUUGCCCGUGAAGAAUGUUCUUCCAUUCCUGAUCUCAAAAUCGAGCUAUGCAAAAUGGAUGAACUUUUAAUAGCCACAGAUGUCAGUCUAAUUUUCACAAAAACUCAGUAUGAAAACAAGGCUGCUGAGCUGGUUUUGCAGCUUCGCGCCUCAGAUACGUAUCUUGAUGAACUUCAGAAAAAGCAUAUUGAAGUAGAAACAACGCUAAAUCGUUGUCUUGCUAAUGAAGCUGAGUAUACUGAAGAGAAUGCAAAGUUGUUGGCAAGUCUGAACUCCAUGAGAUCCGAGUUAGAGGCGUCUAUUGCUGAAAAUAGAUUACUUGUUGAGGCAAACAGAGUUACUACAGCUGAGCUUGAGGAAUACAAGGAUUGGGCUCGAGAUGUUAGGCUUAAUUGUGAGGAUCAAAGGCAGCAUUCUCUAGUGGUUGAAAGGCUGAAGCACUUGCUGGUGAGUUCUGAAGAGGAGAUUGAUAAUUUGGUGCUCUCCAAGGAAGAGCUGGAAGUCAAAGUUCUAGUACUCAAAGCCAAAUUGGAUGAAGAGCAAGCUCAGAUAACUACGAUGGAAAGAUAUCUUGAUGAAUUAAUGAUUCUGAAGAAACAGUACAAUGAGCUUUCUCAGAGGCUUGCCGAUCAGAUUCUGAAGACUGAAGAGUUCAGAAAUUUGUCUAUCCAUUUGAAGGAGCUUAAAGACAAGGCUGAGGCUGAGUGUGUCCAUGCUCGUGAAAAAAAAGACACUGAAGCACCAGUUGCCAUGCAAGAGUCCUUGAGAAUUGCAUUUAUAAAAGAGCAGUAUGAAACAAGGCUGCAAGAACUGAAACAGCAACUAUCCAUCUCCAAAAAGCAUAGUGAAGAAAUGUUAUGGAAAUUGCAAGAUGCCAUUGAUGAGAAUGAUAAUAUGAAGAAAUCUGAAGCUUGUCAUCUGAAGAAAAAUGAAGAAUUGGGAGUGAAGAUCUUGGAGUUGGAGGCUGAGCUACAAGCAGUACUCUCCGACAAGCGUGAAAGAAUGAAUGCUUAUGACUUGAUGAAGGCUGAAAUGGAAUGCUCAUUAAUAAGCCUAGAGUGUUGCAAGGAAGAAAAACAGAAACUUGAAGCUUCUUUACAAGAAUGUAAUGAGGAAAAGUCUAAACUUGCAGUUGAAAUUGCUCAGAUGAAAGAAUUGCUGGAGAACUCCAAAUCAGCCAGGAACAUCAAGGAGAAAGGAAAUUGUGAAUCUUGCAGAGUGGAUAGCAUGUCUUUCAGUGAGCUGGUUUUAGGAAAUAUGAACCAGAAAAUUCCUAUCUCUGAUGCUUCAUGCUUGGAGGAAGAUAGUUUAAGUACUUGUGUAGAAGCCAGCCAUACCUGCCCAGCUCCCAGAAAUGAAGCUGACCAAACAGGCACGCUCAUCACUGUGCAACUUGAGCAGGUAAUUACAAUUUUCACAUUUUAAGUUCUAAAUUGACUAGUUAUUUCAUUAAUUUUGCAAAUUGAUGGUAGAUGUAACAAAUUUGCAGUAACUUAAAGUUCAUUUCUGUCGCAGCAGGAGCAUACUAUUACUUAUUAUAAAUGUAUCCCACUUCUGAUUUCUUAAAUAAUGUGGUCCUUCAGUUAUUAUAUCAUUUUGCAUCCAUGAUGAAAAUUUGUAUUUUCUUAUGUUUAUGCUUUAACAUGCAGCAUGAUCACAUGGUUUACUAGCUAAAAACAAGCCUUUACUGCCCUUGAAAGUCUGUAUUUUCUCUCAUCUUGUACAUCGUUCAUGAUGAUAAAAUGCAAAAAUGUAAUUAAUAAAUAAAGCCUAUAAUGAUGAAAUUUUUUAUGAAUGUAUUGUAGAUUUAAAUUAUCUUUUUCUGGGUACUCUUGUAAUCUCUCAUAUUGUACUUCUUUGCUUUUAGCCGCCGCUUGCCUGUCAGUUAUUUUAACGUCUGUAUUUAAACAUCACUGAUUAGUCCAUCAUUUUUAAUUAUUAAAGCUUUUCUGACAUUUGUGAUAAGAACCAAAAGAUAUUGAAAUUUCUUCCCCCAUGUACCGUCAUAUUGAACACAUUGAAGGGAUUUGUUUCUAAGUAUUUAUUUGCAUUACAUGGUCAGGAUGCUCUUUUAUCUAGUGGAGUGAAUGGAGUUCAGAGUUCCAUGCUCCUAAAUGACGAAAGGUUUCUGCACAGUGAUAUGAAGCAAUUAGCUCUUAUCAACGAUCACUUUAGAGCUGAAAAUUUGAAGUCUAGCAUGGACCACUUGAAUAAUGAGGUAGGGAUAUUGAGACUCUGAGGCAAGUGAGAAGAUGCAUAUAGAUCACUCUCAUCUGUUUGAUAUAGUUUGGCAUAAUAAGGAAAUGUCCGUUACAUCCAAUAGCCCCAGAUAUAAGGAUAAUGUUUAAUGAAAAACUAAUACUUGUUUAUAUGUCCAAUGUAGUUGGAGAGGAUGAAAAAUGAGAAUUCUCUGCUGCAAAAUGAUCAUUAUUUUGACAAAAAAUUUCCUGCUUUACAAAGUGAAUUUAUGCAGUUACAGAAGGUAAAUUAAUUCUCCUUCAUGCCUUGUUACACAUAUUAGCACCCUUCUCAAAUACACUUACUUUUCUGCUUUUUACAGGCCAAUGAAGAACUAGGAAGCAUGUUCCCCUUGUUUAAUGAAUUCUCAGGAAGUGGCAAUGCACUAGAAAGGGUGCUUGCAUUAGAAAUCGAGCUUGCGGAGGCACUUCAGGCAAAAAAGAUAUCAAGCAUCCAUUUUCAGAGGUAUUCCAUCAAGUACCGCUAUAAAAUGCCUGCCAAACAUGAAUCUUUUUGGCAACAAUGGAGCAUACGAAAUUCUCUCUCUCUACUCUCUCCCUCAUGAUUUCAUUAGGCAAUUUCUUUUUCCUUCAAAGAGAAUAUGUCUUGCUUUAAUAGACUGGGGGCAAAAGGAAAGAAGCUCAACCAUGUCUAUGGAAUUUAGUUUGGCAUGACUUGCAAAUGCUGGUGAGGAUUGUAGACCAGUAUCUUGGACUUUGGCUUCUAGAGUUCUGAGCGGUACUCCCCUUAGCUAGGCCAUACUCCAUAAGAUGCUUAUUCCAUACCCAGAGACUCUUUCUCCACCUGCUUCAACUUUCCUAUUUCAUUUCUGCAUCUCUUUCCAAUUAAGACAUAUUUCAUUUCUCCAUGUCUUCUUUCUCCUACUUCUCCUAGGUGUAUGGCCACAAAUCCAUACAUUAACACAUAUCUUAUAUCCCUUAAACUGAAAGUAUGCAAUCCUCUAUUUGGAAUUCUCUAGUCAAGAAUUAGUAGGAACUUUAUGGUCUUGAUAUCACUUUUAGCCCGGAUGUAUCCCUCGUUUAGUCCAUUGCCAAUCUCAUAUGAAGAAGCAGUAUAAUCACUGAUUUUAUAUUCUAUGCUUGUUAUCUGCCUUGUCAUCUCUUUAUUUUCUUCUUUUCACAUGACUAUGCCCCUUGUCUGUGGGAUUUGUUAAAGUUCUUACUAAUGCAGUUAACCCGGAUCUUGCUUUAUAUAUAUAUAUAUAUAUAUAUAUAUAUAUAUAUAUAUAUAUAUAUCAUGUUUCUGCCUUUCGAUGUGCUGCAAACUUGCUCUCAUAUCACUAAUAAGCUAAUAGAUAUGUGGUCAGUUGUUAUUUAUGUCCACCCUUAAACUAUUUUAUAAGUUACCUUGACUGCUUGCAUUGGCUAGACGUAAAUUUGUUCUAGAAUUCAUUUGUUUAAAUACCUUCACACAUAUUGUAGGUAGGAUCCUUUCAAACAUGUGAAACCUUUGAUGCAUAAUUGUCCCAAAAUUUUGGACAUGGUCCUGUACAUUUAGAAUUUUAACUGAAAAACAGACAACUAUUAAAAUAUAACAUUCUUCUUAUUCUCCAGUUCUUUCUUAAAACAACACAGUGAUGAGGCAGCUGUAUUCAAGAGUUUCAGAGACAUCAAUGAACUUAUCAAAGACAUGCUAGAACUUAAGGGAAGGUAUGUAGCUGUGGAGACCGAACUGAAAGAGAUGCAUGAGCGCUACUCCGAGCUAAGCCUUCACUUUGCAGAGGUUGAAGGCGAAAGACAGAAACUCAUGAUGACUCUCAAGAAUGUUCGGGCAUCCAAGAAGGCCCUACACUUAAAUCGGUCUUCAUCAGCCUCGCUUGGGGACCAUUCCUAGUAGCCACUACGACAGGCUUCAAUCAGCGUUUGGAUUUUUCAAAUUUUCAGAAAUCCCUUUACUGGGUAAGGAGUUAACAUCUUUCCUUGCCACAUGAAUUAAUUAUGUAGAACGGAAGCAGCAAUUAUGGAGUUCGUAGGUAUUACAACUGCAAUUUUCAAAUGUAACAAGCCUCUCAAGGAUGGCACGAGCUUAGAAGCAGCUGUAUUUUUGUGUAAAUAAAACAGUAUUUGCUGGGUGUUGUUCCCAGUUGUUAGUAUCAUAAGGUAUAGAUCCCUGUAACACUGUGGCCUUUCUGGUCCAUGUUGUAAGUCAUUAUACUGUAUAGUAAAGCAAAAUCAUGAAGAAAACAAUUUUGUUUAAUUACAGAAACAAGUGAGAAAAGUGUAUUGCCUUCGCCCCUUGCCAAAAUUUCAUGUGGAAUCUCAUUGUGGUAUUUUUCCGGUCGGCUAAUGCGUGCAAGUGUUAACACCUGCAAUGGGAUUAUGGUGUACUUUUGCUCUUAAUGAGAUUCAUGAGGAGAGGUUGCAUUCACAAAUGAAUAGGCAAAGAAGAUAGUUUUGUUAAUUUCAAGACCUUUCCUCCAGCCUUCAGCUCGCCUAACCAAGGAAAAUAAUAUGUUCCUUGAUUAAUUUCAAACCUAAACCAACAGUAUUUCAGUAACAGCAAGAGCGAUAGGAAGACAAAUUACAAACUUUACUGAUCAUAUGAAACAAUUAUUUGUUGCACUGUUCUGUAAGCAGUCUGAUUACAACAAAAAUCAAACCAAAUCAAUAACUUCUUCUAUAUGUUGUUUUCUUUUUCUCUACUUUUUAUUCCUUUUUCCACUUCAUGCUGAUAGAAGAAACCCUCUUGAUCAACUAACUUCUAGCUCACUGAUCUUAAUUCCUUUUUGCAUUCACAAUUAAUGAAGGAACUACAGAGUAAUUUACUAAAGGAAACCAGUGGAAGAAACAUAGUUUUAGAGCAUCUUCUGAGGCCACUCAGAACUAGGAAUUCCUGAAACAUAUAGUCAAGGCUUUUCUUAGGCCACUUGACACAGUUUGGAAACAGUUUUGAUUUCUGAACUGCAUCUCAACUACCAUCUAAUCAAAUACUUCGAGAAGAAACAACACCAGCUUGAGAAACCUCAGUGAUUUUAGUCACUCAUAACUACAAGAUUGAGCAUGAGCACCCUGUCUUCUUUGAAGAAUCCUUCCGGAGCUUGUCUGUUAUUUUUUUAAAAAAAAGAAGUAUCAGUUGUUUGAUCCAUUAAAAUAGCGUUUAAAACUGGAUCAAUAGUCUAGUAAUCAGAUACAUGUCUCAUGGUGAAAACAUAUUAGACUUUAAAUCCUUAAUUCUCCAUUUCAAUCCCUUGAAGGAACACACACCAUACACACAAAAGCAAAAUAAAUAAAUAAAAAGAAGACAAUAGGAUAAAUUGGCAGUGCUAUGAAUUUGACCAAGUACAGCAAGAACCAGUUUUCAAGACAAGCAAUAUAGCAUAUGGAUAUGAGGAGGAAGGGAGACAAUAAACUAAGAUAAUGUCCAAGACCCGAGAAACAUAAGGAAAGCCUAUUUUAUCUGGCAUAUACAAGGUCAAUUAGCCUUAUUAUUUUCCAGAAUCAUCAUAAGCUAACGACAGAGAUACCGUGGGCAAAAACUUGAAUCUCUAUCAUUCCUGGAAUAUUUACUCCAAUUAAAGGCAAACCAUAGAAACUUUUGCACAUGUAGACUUAAAUAUUAGGAAUAUGAUGGUUGCACUAGUCAAGAAUGAUGAAAAGUAAUAAUAAAUGUUACCCCAUAUAAACUGCAGGAGACAAGUGGAUCACAUGAGUACAUUAAAUGUUACAAACAUGUACAUCUCAGUAUUACAAUAUGGAUAUGUGAAUUACCACUGAUUUUCUCUGGCAUGGGAGGUCGCAGAACAACAUGCAUGGUGAUGACACCUCCUGGAAGUUCACCAACUGGAAGUCUGGACUCAGCAAGUGUCCUGUUGUUUUCCAGUAUCUUUCCACCAUUUAUGAGUUUCAAAUCAUUGACAGUCUUUGGACCAUUUUCUUUAUCUGCCAAAUAAGCACCGCACUCUUUAGAAAAUGCAAUCCAAUCAGAUAACAAACCACAACUUUAUAGUAACUAAAGUACGCAUUUCAAGAUUAGGGGCACUUUAGAUUUUUCUUUCUUCUUUUCUUUUUCAUUUUCGGUGCUGGAGUGUGUUGAUGCAUGAUAUUGCUAAUUUACCAUAUAAACAAAUUUUCAGAUGCACAAGCACAAAAAUAAAAUGCAGAAUGAAAGCUCAAGCAUAUUAGAAGAAAACAAUGCAGUCUAUCCAUUAACAUGGAGGUAGCCAUGAAACUCAAAUAAGUUCAGCAUUGUACCAUUCUCAUUCUAAAUCCCUAUAUAUUCCAAAACAGUAGAGUGGGAUCUUCUUGUCAGUUACAAAGAGCAUAAACAAGGCAACUGAGUAACCAUAACGGCAAUAAUGUUUAUCUAGACAAUCAAUCCUUCUUUUUGCACCAAAGCAAACUGUUUAAGAAAACAAUACUUACUGCAUCUUCAGAGUUCAAGCCAUUUUAACAUGUAAUUUACCUAAAUCUAGACCCUUUUGCAGGAUUUUCAUCCACAAAAGGGCUUCAAGAAUUGGGCACAACUAUUUUCUUAGAGAUCAGAAAAGUCAAAUAAGAGAAACACCAUCAAACUUGUGAAAUAACUUGAAUUGGAAUUGAAAAAGACAAUAAAAAUUUGACAUGUGGACAAGGUAGACAAGGCAUAUAAAAUCAAUAUCUCCAAGCCAGAAUUAAGAAAAACUUAGAACCAAAGCUUCCUACCUAACACCCCAACUAAUACUCAAUCAUAAAUUAAAAACUGAAUAUUCAAAUCUUGAAGGAAUGAAUCAAAAACCAAUAUGAAACAGUAAUCCCAAAGAUUGAGCAGAAAUAAUAAUUGAAGAUGCAUAAAAUUGGUCUUAAAAAAAAAAAAAAAAACCUUUUGGCCACUGUGCAAUUAUCUUCUCUUUGAGAGUUACCACUGUAGUUGCUGGAGUAUAUUUGUUAGGCCCAAUAUCAGUACCAUCUGCCAGCCUGAAUUUCAGUUCAAUUAAAUCUUCUCCUGCCAUUGACAAAUCAGUUCACCAAAAAUCCCACCUCAAAUUUUCAUACUAAUCUCCAAGAAACAGCUAUUUGUCCCCAAAAGGUCCAAGAACCCUCUCAACAAAUCCUCUUUUGGCAAAAAUUUCAGCAGAGAAUACUGAAAACUAGCAUUCAUCAGUUGCAAACACAAACAGCAUCAAGGAACAAAAGACCAAUCUUUCCCACGAAAUCCACAAAAGAAACAAUCAACUAAGUAUGAUUGAAAAUAGUUUCUUCUUGAAUCCCCAGAUCCUAUUAUCUAAUCUCGAUGCAACAAGCAAGAGGGUGUGGGAGUAAAUUUGAUGAGAAAAAAAUAUGAGAGUAAACCCAGGAAAGAAGAGAGGCAGGUAUUGAAUUUGCUUGAUGUAUAAAGAAAGAAAGAGACAAGAAAAAAGAAAAAGAAAAAGAGAGAGAGAGAGAAAAAGUAGCCAAAUGUAGAAGGUUUCAAAGUGAUAGUUUUACCUGAAUCUAACAGAAAUAUCCAAUGAUAUUUGAAAAUGACACUUUUCUUUUAACUUCACAUAUUUCGGUGCCCCCCAAUUUAUUCACCUGCGUGCAUUACUUUAUCCUAUCUCGUAAUUUUCUUUAACAAUAUUUUUGAAAGAGAAGUAGGGUGGAGGAAAGAAAAGAAAGGAAUAUAAAAUGGGUGAAUAAAUACCUAUUUUCCUUUUAUGUUUAGAAAGAAAGGUAAGCAAAGAAAAAUAAUUAUUUUUUAAAAUUUAAUUAAUAUUAUGCUCUUCACUUAUAUAGAUAAUAAAAAGAUAAAAAUAUAAUAUAUGUAUAUUUUUUAAUUUUCCAUGCUCAACUUUGUUUUUUAAUUUUUUACACCUUUUUAAGAAAAGACUAAGACUUUUUUUUUUAUAAAACUUAGUUUAAUCUUUUAUUUAUUUACGAAAGUAUAAUGGUGGAUACAAAUUUUUUUAUAUUAUCAUAAAAAUAACAAAAGCGAGAAUAAAAUCAAUUCUAAAUUUUUAUCUAUUAGAAAAAAAAAACUUUUAUCAUUUGAAUUAGAGUUUAAAUAUUAUUAAUUUAAAAAUUCUCUUAUUUUCUAAAAAGAAAAUUUAAUCUUGAUUUGAUUUGGUAGCAAUUUUUUUUUAUAAAGUGAUUUAUUAGCAAUUCUUAAUAUUUAUGUUUCUCAAUUAUUGGAACCAUCUGCCUUUUCCUUUAACUAAUUAAUUAGUAUUUAAUAUGUAAUUAAAUAAAAGAAAAUGUAUCGUUUGUUAAAAUAUGUAACCAUGGAGAACGAUGGUUUUAGGGUAUGAGUUGAUUCCACGCAACUAUAAUGAUUCUUCAUGCUUUAUAAAUUAUUAAACAUGCAAUUUAAUGGAAAGCAUGAUUUUCUUAUAUCAAUUAGGAAACUAUAUUACUUAAUAACUUUUGUAAGGUGGCAGGCAGGUUUGAACCUUUUCUUUUUCUUUCUUUUUAAGAAGGCAGGCAGGUAUGAACUUAAUAUAAUCUUUUUUAUUUAACAACUAAAUGUGGUUAUAUAAUGUUUAAUUAUAGUUACCUUACUAUGGUUAUUUUCUGAUGAAAAUAAAUGUCAAAUUAGCCCUCUAAAAAAAUUAUAAUUUAAUAGAGAUUUAAAUAAUAAAUUUUUUAUUUAAAAUUAUGUAAAGUUUAUUUUUAUAUAGAAUAUUACUGUCGAAUAUAUAUAAUUCCGCUUAUGGAUAGCCAUUUAAAUUUUUGCUACUCUUGCAACUCUUGUAUGAGAAUUUUCUACCCUUUAAGUAUCUCAUUCAUAGGAAGUCAUUUAUUAUUAUUAUUAUUAUUAUUAUUAUUUUAAAAGAGAUAUUUGGGAAAUUCUUAAAGGAAAAUGAGGAUAUCAACUGUUAUUGCAUUAGGAGGCAAAUCAAACAGUGAUCACAAGUUGUGGCGGACCAGAGAAAAGAAGUUAGAAGGAUAAAAACAAAGGAAGAAGAAACGGAGAGGCGAAAUACAAAGAAGAGUAGAAGUCAAAAAAAGAAAAGAAAACAUUGAGAAAAAGAUUGAAGUAUGGUAUGAUUGAGACUUCCAACAUCAUAAUUACUCUUCACCAUAAUAAUGUAUCUGAUUUACUUGAUAGCAAGGACCACAGCCGAUGAAGAGAAAUAGAUACUGAUUUUAUUUUUUUUACUGAUUCUCAGUAACUCUGAAGACAAACUGGUAACAUAUAAUUGACAUUGAUGAUGACAACACAGAAUAAUGAAAUCUGAAGGGCCUGUACAAUGGUUCGCCCUGACUUAUGUGUCACUCGCUAGAUUAAGCUGAUCAGCAAACAGAAUGUCUGCACCAGCAGAAUCUGAAUUAGAACCAAACAUACAGAACAAAUAGACAAAAUAAGAAAACAAGAAGAACCCUUAAGAUGUAAUUAGCAUAUAGUGCCGGCAUUUACUAUGAUCCAGACACACACGUACACAAAGACCAUUUUCUCCAGCCAUCGAACAACCUCACCCUCUGCUAGUGCUUGAAAGAACCUGUCUUACCCUUCGCAUGUUUAGCUCAGUGGUAAGGAUGCAGCUCGUUAACAUGCAACUGAUGUUGAAUGUCACAGCUUGAAAGUGGCUGAAAAUUCACAUCCUUAUAUAAUUACUGAAGAAGUUCCAAUAAAUGGAAGCUCACAAUCCAAAAUGGCUGUUUUCAGGUUUCAACAUCAAUUCGCCACUGUCACCCGGGCACAACCCCACCAUUAUUUCUUUCUCUUGUUCUUCUUAACAUUACACAUGGCUUGCAACCUUAUCAACAGUUUACCUGCAACCAAUGACAGGCAAAUUAGAAGUUCCCCUUUAAACAUCUAGCAAAGCACCACAAAUAAAGGAAGCUCAAAAUCAUCCAAAUAGGAACUUUCAGUACAACAAUCAUGUAUUUACAUGACAUUCAGAUGACAGUUCAUAACCAAACUAGACCUCAGUUCCAAAACUAGUUGAGCCAGCUUUAUGAUUCUUUUUCUCCUUUCUGUUGGUUCCAAAAUCCAUUUUAAGAUGUCUUACUGUUUUUCUACCCAUCUAUCAUAGAUGGAGUACAAACAAGUUGCCAGCAUCCAUUACCAUAAAGAAUCUUUUUCCACAAUGAUAAUUAUGAAUUCUGAUGGAGACGUUACCAAUUCAAAUAUGGCAAAUUUAGUUGUGUUGCAUGAUAUUUUACCUCUCAGCCUAAAACCGCCUUAAUGAUUGUAUUGUAGUUCAGUCCCCCUCUGUCCAAUGCUUUGAUUCUAUAAGUAUAUUCCUCUUCAUAUUUCCUACUUUUAUAUGGUGGAAUAUGAAUUGGAAACAAAAUAUAAACCAUUAAAAUGAUGGCUUUCUUACUGUUGCAAUCUCCAUCAGAGCCCACCAUUAAGGAAAAAGAGAGCUCGUUGGUAUAAAGAGAAUCAGAAUAAUCUUAAUACAAUCAUGCUUGAAGAGCAUAACUAAGAUAUGUGGAAAAUAAUCAAGGAUCAGAAUCUAAGAAGUGCCCAAGUACCAUGGGGUUAGUCCAAUUCGUUCCUUUUCCAAAAUCAAAUCUUCUUAAUUGCACCAUGAAUGAUAAUUAAAUCUCAAGAAGAAUAUGAAUUAAUGAGGUUGAAAAAAGAACAGAAAACAAUUGGUGAGACCUACAACCGUAUGUUAUUGCCCUUGCAGAAUUUAUAAACUAACAAGCACGAGAUUCAUGAUGAACAAGAUGAACACUACAAUGCAACCUUGGUCUAUCAGUCCCAACCAGAUUUAAAUGCUUACCUGAUGCUUCGUUCCCACACUGUUCCUGAACCUAUACCUUGUUCUUCAUCUUCAACACAAAAAGGAUUCAUGUAAAAUUAUGAUCAGUUGAAGCACACAAGAUUUACCACUAGAUUACUUAUAGAACCAUCUCGUUGCUGUCCAUUUCUGAAAGUUAUGAUUGCCCGUCUGCAUAUUGUGCUGAUAUUAUGCAGUGGUCUGCAUGUUUGCAUUAACUUGAUCAUUCCAAGAAAGACGCAAACUAAUACCAUCUUCCGCUCUAGCGAAUCCUAAUUAACCAGGAAACCUCCCUGCAAAAGAGAAUCUAUGUAACAAGUGAGGGAUCUUUUCAGUCUAGGUAAAAGGGCUGACUUUGAAAUAAUUGGACAAACUCUUUGAGUAUACUACUUAGAGACUAUCAAAAAUAUGAAGAAUAUGCAAAGCUCAUGCUCAGAAAGCAAGUAUUGUCGCUAACAAAAUGUUUAGACGGCAAAUGAAGCUUAUGCUUUCAUUAAUGCGAAAAACUAACUGAUCUUGUAGAAGCGGAGCCGGAGCAUGUCCAAAGGACUCUUUAUAUAAGUUACUCUUUAUUAUAAAAAGCUAUUCAAUAAAAUAACACUCCAAUACACCUUUUAUUCUUAAAAUAUAAAAUAAAUAGUAGAUUUAGCUCUAUACAUUUAAAGAGAUAAAUUCACUCUUUAUCUUUAUUCGAAUUAAUACAUUAUAAGUUUUUAUAUAUUUUAUUAAUUGAUAUCAAUUAUCUUUUAAUUUUUUUUAUUAAAAAUAAUUUAUUUUCUAUUUUAAAAAAAAUAAUAUUUAAAAUAUUAAUACUUGAUGAAUAAAAUAAAAUAAAAAUAAAAAGAGUAUUAAAUUGAAAAAAUUAUAUUCUUUAUAAGUAAAGAUACUCUUUAUUAAAUAAAAAAUACUUUUUAAAAUAAAAAGCAUCACUAGGAAUACUCUCAGUUUUAGUAACUAAAUUGCCACAUCAGCAAGAGGAAACAAGUAAGCAAUUUGUUGCAACAUAAAUAAAAAUACUAACAAUGUGUUUGAUGAAAGUUCAUUAAAGAAUUUAUUUCAUUUAAAAAAAAAAUAGAUAUAAAAAAAGAAAUAAAAUGUCUUUUAAGAAAAAAAAAAGUAAAAUAAAAAUUAUAAAAUUGAAAAUAAUAUUUUAGUAUUUUAAUAUAUAUUACCUUACUGAUAUAGAUUCAUUUAGAAAUUCUGUCUAUUUUACUAAAUUUUAAAUUUAUAAAUAAUUUCUAUGAAUUUUAAUUAAAACACAUUAUAAAUAAAUUAAAAAUAUAAAUAAACUCGUAUUAGCCUCGUCGAGCUGGAGCAUACAACCCAGCUUGGAAUUAGAUAGAUGAAACGUAUGAGCUGCAAGGGACCUCGUCAAACAAUCAGCAAGCUGAUUGGCACAAGACACGGGGAGAAGAUGAACCAAACCAGCAAUAAUCUUGGAGGCGAGCUAUAACCACAAUCAAUUUCUAUAUGCUUUAUACAUUCAUCAAAAGCUGGAUUCUGGGCUGAGUAUGUAGCAGAUUGAUUGUCGCAAUAAAGUAAUGCCAGUUCGUGAUGAGGAAUUUGAAACAAGUAUUUGCGCCAUUGAAUUUCACAAGUGACUUCAGAAGAGGAACGAGAUAUGGUUUUCUUCUUUUCGGACUUCCAAGAGAAGUGAAUUACCAAGGAAAACACAAUAGCCUGUGAUUCAUUUCCUGGUGUCAGGGCAUGAAGCCCAAUCUGAAUCACUAAAUUCCUUUAAAUGUAGAGAGGAGGAAACAGAUAAAAAAAAAAAUUAAAAAAAAUCUCCUUGAUCAGGAGCAUGUUUCAGAUAUCUAAGAAGACGAUGGGCUACCAUUAAGUGAUUAGUGGUUAGAUGAUCUGAAAAAACUGAGAUAAUUACUGAACAGAAUAGGGAAGUAUCGGGAUUUCAGGACAACUGAUAACAAAUUCUGUAAUUACAGAGAGAUUACUAGUGGCUUUUCAACAGGAUGACUUUCCCUGAAAAGCCAAUUAUAGAAUUGAGGGAUUUUCGAUUAUGAUCUUUGGUUUACAUGUUGAUUCUUUUCUUUAUUCAAUUAUCCAUUCGUCUCGUCUGCAUUAGUGAUUUUUCCAUGCCCUGUUAAGAAGUGAAAAAAUGAGGUAAAUUUUUCCCAUAUUGGGCAAGUGAUAUCCACGUUAAGCAGUUAGAUAUUCUAAAUAUUAAAUCCAUUGCUGCAGAGCCUCGAACAAUUCUGUAAACUAAGCAAUUUUCACAUAACACAACUAUAACUCAACAAGUUGAUGAAAAUUUACUGUCUGCAGCUCUUACCAAACAAAAUCAAAUGAUAAAGUUGAAGUUAUUUUGAAGCAUGUUUCAUGCACAAAAUGCGAAAAACAUGUUCAUAUGUAACAUGACUAAAACAUCUGGUACACUGUUUGUGCACUAAUUAUUGAAUAAAACAAAAAGAAAAUAUAUUUAUUCUGAAAAGCUUGUCUCUUUCACAGAUAGUGAAAAUAUGCAUCCACCCUGGCCAAAUUUAAAAGUAAACGCAUACUACCAUGUGCAACACAAGUAUAUAUCCAGGAUACCGUUCAUACAAUUCUUACCAGAGACAGCAAAAAAAAGGAACAAAAUCAGCCUUUUCUCAAAGCAUGUUUUACACAUGGACAGCCAGAAUAUGCACUUGCCAUAAGAGUAAAAUCAGAAUAGCGCCCUAUUCGCAUUAACACAUGUGGCCAAAUAUCUAGUACCCUAUGAUAAAUAUGGAAAAUAGAGAGUUUUAAAAAUCUCAUUUAGAUUGCAUGAUAAAUAAAUGAUGCCUAGUUUUAUCAAGCAAUUAGAAACUGCUUGCUUAUAGGUUAUGAUAUCAAAAUGAUGCAGACCUGUAAUGGCGCAGCAUAGCAGAAGCUACAGAAAUAACAGGAUAAAGAAGAUUCUCAAAUUGUGCAACAAAUCAAGAAGAAGAUGUCUCCCUUAUUUGAUAAUUUGGAUCUGGUAGAGAUCUAUCAUAAAUUCUUGUUACACAGCACCUUCACAUACAAUUAUAUGACUGAUACAAUAACUUUCUAGUUUAAAAAAAAAAAACAUUUUACUCUAUCCUGAUUAGGAUAAUAACAUGCCCGCAAUUUCAUCUUUAAACUGCACAACAUUCCAACUCACCAGAUCUGAAAAUCAGCAGCACACACAAUUUACAAUGAGAAACUCUAUCCAAUGAUGCCAAGAAGGCCAAACAAAGAAUAAAGGAAACUUGAUGAACUUGCUGAUGAUAUUCUUGAUCUUCUACCUCUAAUUAGGUAAAUCUAGGUGGCUGCCUUAUUAGGGGGUCUAAACAGACUAUGAAAGUUAUGAUGACAUUUCUGAACAUCACAUAGUGAGUCUGACCACCAUGUUAUCGCUCUUAUAAGUUGUAAGAUAGCAAUUCUCUGAAUAAAUAAUAAAGCAUGCCAAUCAACAUAAUGCUAUAUAUCAAGAACUUGGCAACUGACAAGUUCGGCAGAUUCAAUAUUCUUACUGGCAACGACCUUCCAGACAACUGUUUCUGAUUCAGCCAAUGAGGCAGAAUGCUCAUGCAAGGAGCCAUCAAAAUGAGAAGUUGAGCUCAGUGCUAAGGAAUUCAAAUUAUCACGAAGACCAGCCUGCAUGACUACAAGUCUAUGAUUGGCAUCUCUUGUGACAACAUGAAUCUUUCCAUGAAAACCAGCAAGAAGAUGAGGAGAAUCUGAAUCUCCAGAAUCAUAAAUAGGAACUUUUCCUAUAACAACUUUCCAGGCAUCUUCUUUUUGAUCAUACACCUUAAUCUUACCACUAUCUUGAGAACUAGAGGGAUCUAAUGAAUAUAAUUCACCAUCUACCACAACACUCAACUUUGUACCUGCCUGGCGUGCAGGCCAACCUUCUCCCAUGCCAGCUGGCAUUUCAGCCCAUGAAUUGGUUUCAGGAUCAUAUAUUUCCCCCCCAGCAUCAACAAAGAAGGGCCACGAGUAUAAACUUUGAGGCACACAUAAUCUUCCCCUGUAUGAAGUCAUCCCAGUGGCAAUAGGCUUCAGCAUGUCUGGCCAAAAGGCAUGAGAUUUUGAGAACGGCAUACUUGGAACUUCAGACCAUUUAUCUGUGCAAGGGUCAAAAACUUCAGCAGACUGAAGAGGAAUCAGUCCCCCUCCUAACUGACUAACACCUCCAACAACAUAUAGCUUGUCGUUCAAAAUGCUUGUCUUGCAAUAAGCCCUCCCUGUAUACAUGGGAGUGACCUCACUCCAUCUAUUUAGGAUUGGGUCAUAUCGCCAGACGCAACUAAUGGUUGAAGCUUUAAAAAAGCCACCAAGCACAUAGAGGCAUCCAUCAACAGCACCAAUUGCACAACCGCAAAAGGGCAUUUGAUUCAAUGCCUGCUUUUGCCCAAGCCAAGUCCUUAUUGUUUCAGCAAUUCUAAUGCGCUGUCCCACCACGUUCCACAACCAAAGCCCAGAGGAACUGUUCCUAGAUUCUUCUGCAUAAACAUUGGGCAUCUGAGGCAACCUCUGCCAUGUUCUUGACAAAGGUUCCAAAGCAUGCCAUGAAAGUUCAUCUUCAACUUUUGUCAAUACAUAUAGCCACUCUUCUGUCAAUCCAAGUUCUUUUCUUAAUUUAAACAGUUCAUUGCUCAUAAUAGUUUCCUUCCACUUUCGUGACACCAGCCUCAGAUUGAAGUAGUAACUUCUGGGAAUUUUUGCAAGAAUCUGGAUUGACAACUCAUCAGGAAGGCUUGGAAUCAGUCUCGGUCUGUCAUCACAAAAGCUCGAAGUUGUCUUUUGCCUCUUGCAGCCGCCAUUGAGAGACACCUCAUUAAAUUGGUUUGUUCUACACUUGGUACUAGUUAAACUGAAAAUAGCUCCCAUUAUGAAACUCCCAGUUAGCAAUUCCAACUAUGAACUUGGAGAAUGCUGAAUCAGAAAAAGAAAAAAAAAAAAAAAAUCAGUGACAGCAAUUUCAGCUAAAUCGAAAGGAAAAUAAGCAAGACGAUUUUCAAGGAGUGAACAGAAGCACGUAAGGAAUAGUCACCAAAACUGUGACAGAUAUUUCGCUUUCUCUUAAAAGUUCUGAAUUAUCACAUCUUGACACUCAGCAUUUGAGUAGACAAGUACCAUGAACUGAAGGCAAAGGAGAGAGAAAAUUCAAGGGCCAUAUAAAUAACUUUCAACCCCACCUUCUCUCUCUCCCAAAUGUUUCACAUUUCAUAGACUUCCCAAUCAUUCCAUGUAAUGCAUUCAGAUAUCAGAAGAUUUCUAUGUUCAUAAAAAGUUGAAUCUUUUCAUCAAAUUUAAGAGAAAUAGAAAAUUCAGUGCUCACGGAAUUAACUCAUUCUAUUAAAAAGACAAAUAGGCAUCAAAAACAAUUUACCACUCACCCCAGUACUGGUUCUUAAUCCUCACAGAAACAAGGAAAAAAAUCUUUAUCGGAUCAAUAAACAAUCCAAAACACCAAAUACUCUUUAAAAGAAGAAAAAACAAACAAAAAUCCUAUCAAUUCAAUCGUUUCCUACUGUUCGUUCCGAAUCCAAACAAGCAAUAAACGCACAUCAAGAUGAAAGAAACAAAAAAAGAAGAAUAAAAGUAUUCAGCUAAUCAAGCAAAAAUUUCAAUAAAAGCUUUAACAUUUAGGUAAAAUGACUCUUCAAAUUUGCAAUUAAAAGAAAAACAUAAUCUCGUCAAGGAAUUCUCACCUUUAGGUAAAAGCCGAGAGAGUCAAGCCAAGAGAACCAGAAGAAGUGUAAGUAAGAACCAGGACAAAUUAAAGCAUUAAUCUGUACCUAUAGAUUCAAGGAAUUUUCCUUUUCUUUUCCCCUUUGUUUCCUGUGCGUGUAUAUACUGUUCUGUGUACUACAACUAUAAGCACUUUUUAACGAUAUAUAUAAUUUGUUCAUAAUUUUUUAGUUUUCAAGCUUUCACUGCUGCGUCUGCUUGACUUCAUUCUUCAAAAUAAAAUAAAAUAAUAAUAAUAAAAUGUUGACGUGCUACCUGUAAAUAUCCACCCAUUUACGUGUAAAUUUCCAAUUAAUUAAGGUUUAUUUCUGAAACACCAGUAAACUUUGGCAAUGAGGUGUUACCUACGCAUACGCUUGAACACCUGCUUGCACAGCUGCCGGAGACAAUAGAUUUUAAUUUUAUUUUUGUAUUUAUUACAAAAAUUAAAGACAUCUGAAAUAGACUUGGCCAAAGUCCAGAGCACCUGCCACAGUCUCCUAGUAAUUUCCUACCCUUUAUAAUUAAAUAUUAACUAAAAUGCUCUUUAUUUUUGUUUAACCUCAAUAAAAUCUUUUAUAUUUCUGUUAUUUAUUUUAUUUCAUUUUAUUCUAUGAAUAUUAAUAAUUUUAAUAUUUGAUAUUAUUUAAGAUUUUUGUUAGUAGAAAAAGAUUAAGAAUAUUAGUUAAUAAAACCACUGAUAUAGUAUAUCAAUUAUAUUAACAUAUAAUUAUUAUAUUUGAAAAAAAUAAACUGCUGUUGGAGAUAUCUUAAGUUAAUUAAAGACACAAGUAAUUAAUAUAAAUAGGGAAUCGGCAUAUUUUUGCCCUAAUUGUUCACAGCUGGAAUAAUAUUUGCCCUUAAAUUAUUUAUUGGCUCAAAUAAGCCACUGAAAUUUCUAAAAUCAGUAAACUAAACUCUCAUUUAACAGAAAAAAUAAACAGUAUUUUCGUUAAUUUAUUUCGAUUUCAGAUGAAUCAACUCAGUCUUUUGUUAUAAUGCGAAUAAAACAAAAGUGAAAUAUAAUAUAAUAAAAAUGAAACUAUCCAAAAUAACUCUAUAAUUUCAAUCUCUCUUAUUUUUCAUGCAAAAUAUAAUGUAGAAAAAAUAAAGCUCUCCAUCCAUCUAACAGCAAUUCAAACCCUCUCCUAAAAGCCAAACUAUCAAUUUUUUCCUCUCCUCUAUUCUCUCAAAUCAUAUUAAUUUAAUAAUAUCAAAAAUACUGAUAUGCUUCUUUUUUUUCGGUGAAAUUAAAUAUAGUUAUUUGAAACGUGUCAAUAAUUAGAAAAGAAAAAGCCAUUUUAUUUUUUCUUUUUCAAAGAGAUAGCCUUUUAUCUCUUUCUAUUCCUUCCUAGAAUCAUCUUCAAAAUUAAAAAUUUGGAUUUUCUUUCUAUUGGUACAACAGGAAAACAACUGAAGAAAAAUAUCCUACCCUCCCAUCAAAACUCAUCGUAAUUUGCAUCUUUCAAUUUUUUCUCUCUUAAUUUAUUUUGCAAGAGAUUGAGUUGAGUAAUUUAAAAUCAAAACAAGUUAGAGUAUCGGACUCAACAUUUAACGUCAUCUAAUUUUUCUGCUAUCUGAAGGGUUUGUAUCAUAUGUUUUGAAACUUUGAUGACUUAUCUGCACUAAAAAAUAGUUCAAGGACAGAUGUACUCCUGGCUAUAAACUUCAAGGGCAAAAAGGCACCUUCUCCCAUAUAAAUAUGAUGUUUUAUGUAUAGGAAGAUGAAAAAUUAUUUUCUAUUGACCGGACCCAAAAGACAUACCGUUGACUGCACCUAAAAAUAUAUCUCCACAUUUAUGUAGUUUUGGAGUUUUGGGUUCUGGUCAAUGCAAAGGGUCAAGAUUUUGCUUUUGCGUGGGAUAUCAUAUCAUAUUUCCAUGCUUUAUUCAGCCCAAUAAAGAAGAAGAAAAAGAAAGAAGAUCGGUUUAUUAGAAUGCAGAAACUAUGAUCUCAUCAUUAGCCAUGAGCAGGUUUUUUUAAAGGAAAUUUUACUAUUUAUCUUUUCUUUAAAUAAUUAUAAACAUAUCUCUAUUUUUUUAUUUUUCCAAAAUUAUUUAUAUUAUUUUUAAAAGUAUUUAUUCUUUACUUUUUUUUAUUUUUUUUAUUUUUUAAAAUUAAUUUCAGAUACUUUAUAGAUACUUAACAUGUAUCAUAUUUUAGUUAAUAUAUAUUAUUUGUUGCUAAAUAUUUGAAUUAAAUUUUAUUUCGUUUUAAAAAGUUUUAGAUACUUAAACCAUAAUAUUAUUUGACAAACGUAUACUUUUUGUUAUUUAAUUUUUUUUAAGUUUGCAUUUUAUUUCAUUUUAAAAAGAUUAAAAAAUCUAAUGUAUAUUUAAUAUAUAUCAAAUAUAUACUUUUUUUCUUCAAAAUAUACUAAAUAUAUACUUCUUUUAUCUUGUAGCAAUUUAUCUCAUUUUUCAUAUAUGAUAUUUUCAAGAUAUCUCCAAAUUUUUAGAUCAGAAAAAUACCUUUUAGAUUUAUUUAUUCAUCAUUAAUAUUACAAGAUUAAAUAAAUGUAAUAAUAUUUACAAAAAUUAUUAUGUUUUAGAUUCAUUAUCUGUCAAAAAUAUACUAAACAUAUAUACAUUUUCUUCAAAAUAAAUCCAACAUAUACAUUUUUAUUUGAAAAACCAAAUCAAAUAUUUUUAUAAAUAAAAUCCCGUUUUAAAUAUUUUUGUAAAUAAAAUUUUAUUUUUAGGUAUUUUUAUUGUGAGCAAUUUUGCGGAUAUUUUUAUAAUCAUUCUAUAUUUUUGUAGGAUUUUUAAAAGAAUUUUUUUUUAAGAAGUUACUUAAGAAGAAGAGGAUAAAAAUUGUCUUAUUUUAUGGCAUAUUGGACUAGUAAAAAUUGAGAUAUCACAAUUUCUAUUUCCUUAUUAAUUAUAGUUUGUGGUCUUGAUAUCAAUUAUUAUAACCUUUAGGAAAAUUACACUUCAAAAGCUAGGUAUAUUAAAAUGAAAUCCCAUGCAUUUUUAGUGUGGGAUGCAUAAUUUGUAUAUUAAAAUCAUAACAAAUGUGGUACUUAGUUUUUUGUUUUUUUGAGUAAAUUAAGAUAACAUCUAUUACUAUUGAACGUGUGCUCUUUGGAAGAUUGCUAUAUUAUAUGAAUAACUCUGUAAUAAGUAAUUAAAUAAUUAAUUUUUCUAUAGAUCAUCUCACCACUUGAAUUAUCUCUGUUUUCAUUCAUUGGUGAAAUCCUAUUUGAAUAGGCAAAACUCUUUUAGCAUUGCCAAACCAAUUGCUUAUAUGCUACAAAGCUGGAUUUAUUAAUUAUUGUGAAGCAAAGAAAUGUACUAAUACAAAAGGCGACCUAAAUUUACAUGUUUGGCUGCUCCAUCUUAAUUUGCUAAGAAAUUUCAUAACAGCAAAUACUUCCUCUUUUACAAUAACUUGACAAGAAUUUAGCUAGUUAUUGAUUACUAGCUACUGACAAUAAUCAUACUAACUAAUCGAUCGAUCGAUCUAGCUACACUACAGUAGUCAUUGGACGUAUAGUCAAUGUCAAACUAGUUGCAGAACUUGAUUGAUCCAUGUACCCCUCACAUUUUCUUUGAGCAUUGGCAUUGCAAGGUAGAUAAGAUUCUGAUACCAUUUUACCUGCAUACGUGCUGAAACACUUGCAUACAUCUCCAUGAAUUUCACUUCCAUUUUUCAGAUAUGAUUUCGGGAUAGAAGAAGCCGAUGUUGCCAUUAAAUUUUCGUGCACUAAUUCUGUAUAUACGUCUAUUUCAUCUUCUUCUUCUUCUUCUUCUUCCUCUGUGCUCUCUUGGGUUUUUUCUUCUUGUAUAAGCUCGAGCUCUUGUAGCUCUAGCUCCUCUUCUUCAUCGUCAUACGCAAUAUCAUCGAAGGGUAUACGUAUAAGCUUCAAGAUGAGACGACCAUUUUCUCUAUAUGAUUCGAAGUAUUCAUGGUGCUCUAAUCUUUCUUCUCUAAGGAUCAAUCUACCAUUAAAAUAAUGCCUAGUUAAAAUCCAAGGCGUAUGACUAGGCAAAUUGCCUGUUCUUGCUAACAAAGGAAUUGUUGGUGGAUACCUCUUUCGCUUUUCACAUUGCUGCUGAUCUCGCUUGCCAUGAUUAGGAUGAUAACCAGCCUCAUGUUUCCACAUUAUUGUUGCUCUUUCUUCUAUACCCGAGUUCAGGCAAACACCACUCUCUGUCCCAAUCAAGUCGUCCAACAUGGAUGACCAAGAGGAGUAUGGUGAGGAAUCAGCUACUGAUUGAAACAAAGAUGAAGAAGAUGUAGUUGAGAGUGAUGGCGAUAAGAGCAUCGGUGAGGGUGGUGAAGGCCGCUUACAAGAAUGGAUAAUCAAGGGGUGAUGAGUUGGGUCUCGAGGGUGUAUUAGGGUUUUCAGACCAGGAGAUGCUGCCCAACAUUGUUUCGAGACUUGCAUGGAAGAUGGCAAUGUUGUUGACCACAAUAUAAUUCUACACAGCGAUGAGAGUAAGGACUUACCCCUGUAAAAUAAGUUCUUUUCACUUAUAUAACCCAUGCCUUUUUUAUGGAAGUAAACGUGGGGUUUACAGAGCUAAUACAACUGAUAAAGACAGUUUGGUUACCUUUUUAGUUGCAAGGGCCUGCAAGAAACAAGAAUAUUAUUAACCGGAUUGGGUUCGGGAUUUUCAUAAUAUAAUUAUUAUUGGAAAAAGACCGCAGUUAGUUAUUUUUCACUGAUCAAUCACAUCAAAAAUUGUUUAAUGAAAUUUAAAAAUUUAACAGUUUUUUUCCUUAUUAAUUAAUAGCUGAUUUAAAUUUUUUAUUUAUUUUAAAUAAUUUUUGAUAAUUUAUUUAAAUUGCAUUCAUAUAAUUAAAUUUUUAUAAUUUAUAAAAUAAUAAUUAUUUUAAAAUUACACUUAAUAAUUAAAUAGCUAUAAUAUUUGGAAUUAUCACAUUUAAAUUAAAAAAGUUUAUUGAUAAAAUCAAAAUUUUAAUUUCUAUUUUCAGAAUAAAUUUAUAAAUAUUUUAAUAAUAAAUAUGAUCAAGCAAAGUAAAAUUAAUUAUAAUAAAUUAUAUAAAAUAAUAUAAUAAAAUAAAAUAAAUUUACCAUUUAUAAUUAUCUAAUAUAAAAAUAAUAACACUAAUAAAAUUUUAUUAAACAAUUUAAUUUUUUCGUUACCAUCUGUAAAAUAUUAGCUUAGUUGGUUACAUUGAACUAAUAAAUUAUGAGAUUAGCCGCGGUUUAAUCUAUUUACAAGAGUAAAUAAAAAUGCAAGUUGGAGAAUUGCGUUUUGGGACAAUAACAUUUGGCUACAGAAUAAUGUGAUUCUGACAGCAGUGCACUAUAAAUUAAGUGAUACCAAGAAACGUAACAAGCAAAGACUUGACAAGAAAGAAACACCUUUUGAUUUGUAAAGUUUAUAAACGGAAAAAUAACGGGAGAAGAUCAUUUUACAGUCAAGGAUCAUCCUUUUCAAGGAUUUUCUUUUUUCAUUUUUUCCUUCAGAAAAGAAAAGAAAAGAAAGCAAGAGGAGAUACAGAAGAAAUCAUUAUAUAUAUGUAUAUAGGUUAAUAAAACAGUUUGCACCUCUGAAGAACUAAACUCAAACAUUCUCCCUUUAAAAAUGAAUUUAAGGAUUUGGCAGUAUUUGUAUGAACCUGUAAGAAGCUUGCUAGAAUACUUUCUUCUUCUUCUUUUUUUCCAUUGUUAGUUUGGAUGAUGCAUGAAAAUAGUUUUGUUUAUUAAUAUUACAUUCUCCCUUUUCCUCUUCGAUUAAACUUCCCUCGAGUUGUUCAACUAGCAAAUCAAGUGUCUGAUUCAUAGUAACAGGAGAUCAAAUUUUUAAAGAAAAUCGCUUUCUUUCUUCCUUACAAUUCUUUGAAUUGCCAAAACAAUUAAAUAUCUAGAUUAAACUGACUUGCUAUCUUAUUAAUAAUUAGUGUUAUUAAUUUUUUUAUGUGCAGACAAACUGAUGUUUAAUUAAAAUGCCCAUGAUCAGAAUACCAUGGGUGUUAAAAUUAAGGUUUAUUAUAAAAUUUAAUUAAUGGUGAGCAAUUUCAUCCAGCCUAUGGAAUUAAGAUUUCUAACAAAGAAACUGCAUAAUAAAUUAAAGUGUUCUAAUUUUACAUUUCUAAUGUGUAGCCACAGCAUACAAAAACAUUAAAGAAAAAAAAUGAUUAAUUAGUAAGACAAAAAAGAGUGACUUACCUUAUUGAUAUAUUGUAUGUGAAUUACAGUAGUUCCAUUCUCCCCUCUUGGAAAUCAAAUGGUCACCACCUCUCUAAGAGAAAAGAAGGGAACAGGUUAUAAAUAUUAGGAAAAAGAGAGACUGAACUCUCUAAACUCAUACAAUUGCAGAGCCUUCUCUUCUACAUUACUACAUACAUAUAUAUAUAUAUAUAUAUAGAGAGAGAGAGAGAGAGUGAAACAGAAGAGAUGAGGGUAAAUAUAUAUAUAUAUAAUAAUUUUUAUUCACAGCCUCAUUUUUGGCACCACUUAUGAAACGAAACGGCUUCACUUGAGAGGAAUUUGGUUUAUCUGCAACCAAAUGUGCAUUCCAGUUGUUGCAAUCCGUGCGUAUCCAAUAUUGAACAUGAAGAGAUGGCUGCAUUCGAGCUUUUUGAUUGUCUCUACGUCUAGAACCCUCGGCUAGCUUUAAAACUAUUAGCAUAUAUAUAUAUAUAUAUAUAUAUAUAUAUAUAUAGAGAGAGAGAGAGAGAGAGAGAGAGCAUUGUUUAAUUUUGUAGGUGAUCGCAGCUUGAGGAAACAGAAUAUAUCAGCUGAUCUUUUGUUUUGGUUGAUACUUCUGGCAUCCAUUUCUGAUGCCAAGUCUUCUUCUCCCUUCUCCACUGACAAACUUUGGAGACACGUAUAAACAGUGACUUUGUUUUUAUACUAAUUAGCUACUAUCUUAAAACCAGACAUAUUCUUUAAUCAUAACUGCGAGCCCCUCUCGGAUUACUUUUGGGGUACUACAACAGUAAGUAAACUAUAAUUUCACAGUGAACCCUAAGGUUCACUUAUAAUCAGAUUAAGAAGAGGAGAACUAGGCUAUGUUUUGAGGUUGUCAUAGAAUUUCUAGUCAACAAUAUUACUAAACCCUAAAACAUUAAUCGUCAACCGUCAGAUGGAAACAAAAAGAGGAGAAUUAAGAUCUGCUGUGGGGACUACUUGUCUAGUGAGCAGUUUAAAAGCGUACAAAUUCAACGUGGGAAACAUGUUCGAUGUCCACGUGGGUAGCUGAUCACCAUAUGUAAAACAUCUCAAUGCAAUAGAAACGUUCGCAUCUUGUCUCUAUCUAUCUCUCCAAAACUUGCCUCUUCAAUAUAUAAACCUUCCUAAAUUAAUAUCCAAGUAUAUAUGAUUUUCAUUUUUCCUAAACUUACUAACCUAAAGUCCCCUAAAAUACAAAUAUAUAUUACACAAAUACCAUAAAUUUAGUCGUUCAACUUGAAUAAUAUUUUGAGUUUGAAUUAUUUUUUAUAAUUAAAAAUAAUUACCUACAAAAUCUAUAAAAAAAACUAUUAACUACCCAUUAAAAUCUUUAAAAUGUAAAAUUUGACUGAAUUAUGGAUAGUGUAAAUUUAUUUCUUGGGAAAUUCUCUUGGGAUGUUAUGUGGUAAUAAAUUUUAAAAAAUAAAUAUUACCCGCAGUGUUAGAAAAUGGAAAUUCUGAAUGCAUUGAAGACCAAUCAUAACCCAUAAAUGUGUAUAUAUAUAUAUAUAUAUAUCAGCAAAUUGUGAUAUGGUAUUUACCACUCAGAGAGAUAUCCGCCAACGCUUAGAUGCUGGUAGAAUUACUCAACCGUAAUCAAAAACCUUAUAUAUAUAUAUAUAUUUGCACAGAGAAUCCGAAAUCUCGCAUGCAGAAAGCUGUAAUAAAAAACAUAAGCAUAUCUGGAUAUGAUGAUGGACCACUAGAAAAACUGGGAGUGAUGAGCAAAAAUGGGUGGACCUGGAAUAUGGGUUUGGUGCAACCAAGGCAGCAAGUUCUUACGGAUAGAUAAUUUGUAUAUGUAGGAGUUGUGUAUAUGUAUAUGUAUGUGUGUGGAAGUGUGCAAGAGCCAGCAGCCCAAUCAUGAGCCCUGACAAGAGUACCAGGCAGGAGAUAUUUGGAGGAAGCUAGCUGUACUACAUACUAUAUAUUAUCAUAACAGCAAUAAUAUCUCCAUUUCCAGAAACAACCGAUCGAAUCCCUUCUAUCUUAUUUAUUUAUUUAUCAUCAUCAUCAUCAUUCCUAACAACAAAAUUGUAAAUAGGGUACCUUGGAAAUUGGUCCCUGUACUUUGAUACUGCCACUGCUCAAUCCAUCCCUCACCUGCACUUUUUUUGAGGGGCUAAUGGAACCCACCACGCCAACAUAUUUUCCAAGUACUCUAACAUCAGCCUAUCUAAUUGUUCAUGGCCACACACCAAUACUUUAAUACACUAUGCCAUUUGAACGUUACUGUGUAUGAUUUGGAUGAUUUGGAGAAAUAUCAAAUUUUAUUCUCUUCUGCAGACGUGGUUUGUAAGUAGACCUAAUUCAUAUUUAUUGUAUUAUAUAUAUAUAUAUAUAUACUGUGUAUGAUUUGGAUGAUUUGGAGAAAUAUCAAAUUUUAUUCUCUUCUGCAGACGUGGUUUGUAAGUAGACCUAAUUCAUAUUUAUUGUAUUAUAUAUAUAUAUAUAUAUAUAUAUAUAUAUAUAUAUGAAUUACUUUCGGCUCACAAAUAUCGCCCAAAAUUUAAUGUAAUUGGAAAGUUUGCAAUUGCAAAAAGUUGUGCUCCAAUUUUUAAAUUUUAUUUUUCUUAUCAUGAUAUGUAUCACUUUUUGCUCUAACAUAAGCAGACACUUAACAAGAAGAAAUAUGGUUGUCAAUUUUGAAGAACACACAUUAAACAAAAUUCAAAAAUUUAAAUGAAGAAUCACUAGUGUCAUAGACAUGAAAUUAAAUAGAGUAGGAAUGUAAUGAAAUAGCCUAUCCACACUAUGGGAACCUAAUCUCUCUCAAAUCUUGACUUUUGUACUACAGCCUCCAUGAGCAUGAAAGGAAUAACUAAAUCUAUCAAAUAAAAGAUUGAUUCACCUAAACCCUAAUCAAGCUCUUAGUAAUCAAUCCUCAAAAAGAAACAAAACUCACCUCUCCUUCCCCAACAAAACCCUAACUUUUAUUUUUCUCUAUUUCUUUUUCAUGUCUAACUAUGAAUUGGCCUCAUAGCUGGUACUAGCAUCUCAAAAAUGCAAGUGGAUGCUGCUCUCAUUGUCAUUGUGUUGUAACUGAAGCACUUGAAAGCACUUACAUUUCCACCAAUUCCAUUAUCCAUUGAAGUCAUUCUUUGGUCUUGAUCAUAUAGAAUUUCCUUCUUCAUAGUGCCAUUACCAUGAACGUCAUUGGCACAGUCUUCAAAAUCAUCUUCUUUAUCUCCUCCAUAGUCAUUCGCUUGUAUGUCUUUACAUUCUAUCUUGCCUGAUUCUCCUUCUUCUUCUUCUCCUUUGCAACAUUUCUCAUACUNNNNNNNNNNNNNNNNNNNNNNNNNNNNNNNNNNNNNNNNNNNNNNNNNNNNNNNNNNNNNNNNNNNNNNNNNNNNNNNNNNNNNNNNNNNNNNNNNNNNNNNNNNNNNNNNNNNNNNNNNNNNNNNNNNNNNNNNNNNNNNNNNNNNNNNNNNNNNNNNNNNNNNUUUUCUACUUUUUCUUUUUCUUUGUCCUCUUCGGUGCAACAGUUCUCUAGCUCAUUUUCUUCCUGCCCUUCUUCUUUUUCUUGCUCAAUUUCAUCUUCUUUUUCUUCUUGAUUGGGACAGUGCUCAAGCUCAUUCUCAUUGUUAUCUUCCUCAGAAGAAGAACAAUGAGGAUGAUAAACUCGAUCAUCUAAAGGAACAAGCUGCAAGGUAAGACGGCCAUUACAUCUCUGAGCACGAAAAUAGCCAUGAUGCCUAACCCUCUCUUCCUUAAGAAUCAGUCUUCCAUCACUUGUAUAGUACCGCUUCAAGACCCAAGGCAUAUGGCAAGGCAAAUUCUCAGUUCUUGCCAGCAAUGGUAUUGGUGGUGGAAACUCCUUCUUCUCCUUCUUCUCCUUCUUAGCUGCCCACCUUUCAUCUCUCCUACUAAGGCGAACACUGAAACUCUGAUCACCCUCUUUUUCUUCGGAUGCAGAUAUAAACAUAUCAUCAUCAUCUUUAAGAUCAAGACAGCUCUCAAUGCCAAUGUAGUCUCCAAUUAGAGUAGAAGAUGGAGGUGAAGAUGAGGAAUUAGCAACAGACCCCAUAAUGCUUGAACUUGCAGUUGCAUUAGAUCUACCACUAAUGAGACAUUGUUCAACAUCAUGGGUUUGCAUUCUUAAUGUUUUCUGUGUUUUGAUCGGAGAGAAAGAGAGGGGGAGAUUGGUGUUUUGGUAAUGGGGUCUUCAGUUGUGAUUCUUGGCUAGAUUUGCAUGAAGAGGAGAGAAGAGCGUUUGUUGGCAGUCUUUUUCCUUUUCCUUUUUCUUUUUGUGGGAAGUGAACGAAUACUAACAGUUGAAAACAGAGGCAGAUAUAGAGGAAGAGACUAGACAAUUAGAUUAUCGAUAAUUGCAGGGUAUUGAAGAGAGGGAAAAAGCUAGUGGCAGAGACAGCUAAUACCUGUGACGUCAAGAUUUGGUUCCUUAUGUGGAUUGCAAAUUUUCAAAAAUCUGAUACCAUUAAAAACUUUCCUGUAAAAGAAAUUACAAGAAAAAGAAAAAAAAGAAAAAAUCACACCACAUAAGUAAAAUCAUCAUCUGUUUAUAGCUAAUUAUCUUCUUAGUAUUAAGCAUGUAAAUAUUCACACUAAUUCCUGCCCCUGAUGAAAUCUGGCAUGUAUGUGUUAAGAGUUGUUCUUGCCAGACUAAACAUGGGACUGCAUAAAUUACAGGUUUAUAAUUGGUGUUUUCCUGAAUUUCUUCUCUUUUUUUUUUGAAAGAAAAACGUGGAAUGGAAUUGUGUGCCGCAUGCUAAUAAUAUUGGCCCACAAGACGAGUCUCAUCCUGAUGAAGACCUCAAUCCGGUCCAUUCAGUAACAUUAUAUGGAUAAUAUUGCAGUAAUGUUUAGGAUUCUUAGGUCCAACAACCCCAGCACAGGUUGCAUAAGAUUUUAUCCAUAGAAACUGAAAAAAGGAAAAAGGACCCAUAAAGCUUGACAGUAAAGGAAAAUAUCUGGCGUUGCAAAACCUGAAAUCAUUUGUAUAAUCUAGAAACACAACCAGCAGCAACUUAUAUUAUCUGUUAUUUAUAUUCUUUCCUCUAUUUUCAAGUCAAAACAAAUAAUCGGGCAACUCAUACAGAAUCAAUUAGACCUUUUUUCUUUUCUAAUAUCGAAAAGGAAACUGCCAUUCGGACAAGACAAUGGGAAUAAAGAAAAGGGCCUGUUCCAUGUCUAUUUUUACGAAAUUAGUUUCUAUUAUAAAGAGUAUAUAUAUAUAAUGAUUACCCCAUAACUUAAGGAUUGAAAAACUAGUGACAAUCAAGUUUCGUGUUUUAUUCUGCUACAUCCUUUUUGGAGAAACCAUGGUAAGGCUGAAUUGAUUAAUUUGCUCUAACCUCUGGGUCUUCAUGUUCAAUAUUGUCUAGUUAAUAAAAUUUUUAAAAAUCAAAUCAAAUCAGUAAGAUUAUUAAAUCCAUUGCAAUAAAGUUUGAAAAAAAAAAAGAACCCAGAAAGGAAAUGAAUGCUGGAAUGUGAUUACAAGAUCACAGAUCAUUUAGGACAAAAUAUUCCAUUUUAUACAUAUAUGAUGAUUAUAUAUAUACACGCAUGAUAUUUAAAAAACAAAAAAAGGCACUAACAUUUGACAAACAAUUAGAUCAAACAUCAACAUGAAAUUAUUGCCAACAAUAAUAUUUGACUAAUCAUAUACCAAAUCCAUAUGUUUUCAUCAGAGAUUCAUUUUCUCUGUGAUCACAACGUAUUAUAUUUGCAUUAUAUAAAUGAAAAUAAAGAUAAAAGAAAAAGAAGAAAGAAAAGAGUACGUACCAGAGAACUAAUUGGAGAUUUGAGGAGAAAUAGCAGGAGGAGGAGAUGGGUCAACAAUGGCAUCUCCUCCCUCCUAGGCAAUUCUCCUCAAAAGGAGACGGCAGAAUUAAUAUAAGGAAGAUUUGGGCUACCAAGAAAGACAACUCACAACAGGAAAUCAUACACGCAGCCAGACAGGCAAUGUAUUAUGUAUAGGCACCCAAAGUUUACACCCUUUCAAGUUUCUAUAUAUUCUCUUUUAUAUAUAUAUAUAUAUAUAUAUUUUUUUUUUUUUUCAUUUAUGUACUUUCUUUCUUUCUUUUUUGUUUCACUCCUAUUUUCGACUGUUGGAAUGGAAGAGAGGACACGUAAUACAAAUGUAAUAUUGCCUGUCCUUAGGCGGGGUUUAAGGGAUUAGAAUUAUUAAUAGAGCUGAUCUCAGCCACAAGUAUAUACUUUAAAAUUAAUUAGCUGUUUUAUGGGGUUUUUGUUUUUCAGAAAGUUUCAUAGGUUAAUUUGGAAAUUUAAUAUACUUUAAUUAAGUUAUAUUGAAAAUUACAUUUAUCCUAUCCCAUAACAACAAUAAAAACUAAAUAAAUAGAUAACAGAUUAUUAUUAUUAUUAUUAUUAUUAUUAUUUUCAGUUUUAAACGGUAUAUAUUUGUAUUAUAAAGUUUUUUUGAUAUAUGCCUAACUUUUAAUGUAUAGACAUAAUUUUAAUCAUGUAAUUUUAAAAUGGUGUAUAUUUGUAUCAUAAAAAGUAGGCAUAAUUUUGACAUAUGCAUAGUGAUGAUACAUUGUUUUAUACUUUUAUUAUAUUUAAUGAUAAUUAUGUAAAUAUAAUUAAUAAAUUAGCUAACAAAUUACUUUUCUAAUUAAAUAAUAAUUUAACUCUAAAACAAAUUCAUUAUAUUUUCAUCAUUAAUUUAUAAAUGUCAAUUAUAUUAAUUAAUAAUAAAAAAAUAAAAGGAAAAUAAUCCUAAAAUAUUAAAUUUGAUGAAUUCUUUUAUUAUACUCUUUAUUAAAUUUUUGUUGUACGUAUUUAAUUUACAAUUAGUCAAAAGUUUAUAUAUGUAAAUAGCAACCACUAUUAGUACAUUUAAAAGUACAUACGUAUAUCCCCCUUAUAAAUUUAAAUUUUUAGUACUAAAUAUUAAUAGAAAAUCAGGAAUGAUAUAUUAGACAAGAUUUACUUAUCGCACAGGUAAUCCUUUGUGAUUAUAAUUCAUUUUGUUUUGUUUUUGGGAGAUUAUUUAUGGAUUUAAUUUGUUGCGAGUAAGAACAGCACUGGAAAAGGAAAAAGGAAGAAUAUAGAUGCGUGAAAAUGGUGAUUGAAGAAGAAAUAUGCGUAUAUUAUUAUAUCUAAGCUUAUACUGAAAGAGAGCAUUGAAGAAGAAGAAGAAGAAAUAUCUUCGAGGGGACAAAAAGGAAGUCACGACCCCGAAACUAGUUGGCAUGUUUCCAUCAACCACUCACUUCAGAAAACCUCCUAGCAGAACAGUGCAUGUUCAGGAUAAUGGAUGUUGAUAUUCUGUCCAUACCACCCAGAAGCUUGGAAUUUUUGACAAAAGGUAUACAUAUUUUAUUGCAUUAUUAAUACCAUACACUGAAUUAGUCCAUCUAGACAACAAUGACUACAGUUAUCAUUUUAAUGAGUUUGAGCACUAGUAAUUGUUACUGUUUAUGUUUAUACAAGAGGAAUCAGCUAGUAAUCCAUAAUAUUCGAGUCACCUGUUAGGUAAAGGCAAGUUCGUAAAGCAGGUGAUCUGAAUUAUGCAGAGGAAAUAAAAGGAACAACUCAGAAUUAUAAUGCAGUGCACCUGGAUGGUUAACGAAAAGCCUGAAACCAUGCAUGACCAAAGAGCAAAAGGAUUAGACACAGCCCAGAUCAGGUUUUCCUAAGGACCCCUUUCAAAUCAGAAUCUACAUAAUAAAAAGAGUUCCAACUAUGCAGGCAAAAAGUACUAUCAAGUGACAUGCUGAAAUCUGUCAGUACAAGCACAUUAGUUGUGUACAGAUAGAACAGGGGUAUAUUGACCAUCAUGAACUUCAUUGACUCAUUCGGACACAAUUGUACAGUUUUUGGCUUAUUGGUUUAGUACAGGGCUUUCAGGUUUCGAACUUGAGUAAAUCACACUAGAAAGCCACAGAGUUUCUCAGAGCAAUUCUGCAACGGAGGUUAAAAUGUACAUCAUAUUUCGCAGGACCAUUUUGUAGCUAGAUUUCUGGUUUUUAGGUAAAAAAGAAAUUGAUAGUCUAGAGAUUGCUGAACUUAAAGUUCAGUGAGAUGACAUAUUCAGUUCUGUUCGUUAAAAUGCUCUGGAACUGACUGAAAAAAAAUACAAGACGACUCCGCUGGGGAUCGAACCCAGAAUCUCUGGUUCCGUAGACCAGCGCCUUAUCCAUUGGGCCACGGAGUCACUUGCUGAAUGCAUCUUAUCAAUUUUUAUCUAAAUAAUGUUGCACCACUAAGUUAAAUAUAUAUCAAUUCGAAUUAGCGACGUGGUAUGGAAAUGGAUGUGAAUCGCAUUUGUCUUUUAUCGCUAACAGACUAGAAAUAGAAUUUAGAUUAAUAUUUCUUAUUUAUACGUAUAAGCUUGCAAUUUAUGGACAACUCCUCGUUUACUAGUGCUUUAAUUAUAAAAUUAAAUGAUAGAUACAAUCUCAUAAAAUUUUCAGUAUUUGAUAUUAUUUUGUAAAAUUUUAAAAAUAAUAAUAAAUUAAUUAUUUUUUUAUUUUUUUAUUUUUUAAAAUUUUAAAUUUAUUAAUACAAUAAUAUAGAAGUUAGUUAUUAAUUAAUUUUAAUAUUAUAAAUCAACAUAUUAAUAUAAUUAAUAUUACUAUUUUUUAUAAUUAAAAAUUUAUUAUAUAAUUAAAAAUUUAAUUUACUUAAAUAUAUAUUAAAAAUAUUAUUUAAGAUGUUAUUUUCUAUAUUAAAAUUAUUAUUGAAUACAAAAUUAANNNNNNNNNNNNNNNNNNNNNNNNNNNNNNNNNNNNNNNNNNNNNNNNNNNNNNNNNNNNNNNNNNNNNNNNNNNNNNNNNNNNNNNNNNNNNNNNNNNNNNNNNNNNNNNNNNNNNNNNNNNNNNNNNNNNNNNNNNNNNNNNNNNNNNNNNNNAUUGAUAUAAAAUUAUUUAUUAAUUAAUAUAAUAUUAAAAUAUAAUUAAUAUCAUAUCUUUUAGGAUUAGAGUGAGUAUUUAAUUAGGAAUAUAAUUUAUUAUUUAAAAAUAUAUAAAUUUUAAGUGUUAAAAAUUUAAACAUCGAAAAUAAAAGGAUGAAUAAAUAUUUAUUAGUCCUAGUUAAUAUUUCAUUUCUCUAAUUAGUUUUAUAUAUUACGUCACAGAGAUUUUAUUAAAAUAAAAAUAUAAUUAAUGUGUGCUAAAACACUAAGAAAAAUAUAACAAAAGCGAGACAAUUGUAAAUGGCUUUAAAUUUUGCAUUAUUAUUAUUAUUAUUAUUAUUAUUAUUAUUAUUAUUGUUAUUGUUAAAUCUGUUCAAAAUUCAGACUGAAUUAAUUGGUUUGGCCAAAUUUAUUUGUAUGGAAUUAAUAGAUUUUAAUAAAGUUUAGUCUAUUUUUAAAAAGAUAUAUAAAUUUAUUUAUAUCUUUUUAGGUAGAGCAAUAUAUGGGAUCUCAAAAAUAAUAUUUCAAAAUUUACUUGGAAUAUAAUUGAGUUUUUUUUUAUUUAACCUCGAGCAAACUUAAAGUAAAUAUUAUUAUUAAAAAAAAUUUAAUAGGCUUGAAGGAAGCAAGUAGAUAUCUCCACUAAUAAAUAAGUGUAAUUAUUAUUAUUGCAAGAAAUUUAUCAUUUUGUUCUAUAAACAAAUCGUAUUGCAUGUUUUAUAAUUGACAUGAUGUAAAAAUUGACCCACUUUAAAGCAAGACACUAAUCUUUCAUAUCUUAACUCAAUUAUAGAGCUGUUUAUGGGGCUGAGUAUCCGCCUGCCCGUCUAGGCCGCACCUUUCGGGUCGGACUUGAACAAUAAUUUUUGUGUACAAGUCUAGCCCAGCUCGAACUCAUAAAAAGCCCGGUCCGACCCGGCCUGAUGUUUAAUUUAGUUAGAAAAAAAAUGUCAUACCUAGUAUUCGAACUCUGACCUUCAACUUAUAAUUAAGUGCUACAUACCACCUAGUUACCUAUUAUUUUUGUUUAUAAUUUUAUUGUUAUUAAUAAUAUAUUUAAAUAAAACUAAACUCAAGCCCGACCUGAACCCGCCCAAUCCCGACCUGAACUCGUCCAGACUCGAUCCGUAUUUACAGAUUUAACAAUGUCGGGCCAGGCCGGACUUUUUAAAAAAUUUCGGGCUCAGGCUUGGGCUGAAAGAUAUUAAAAAAUUCUCGGGCUUGAACGGACUCAGACUUAGGCAAAAUAAAGUCAAACCCGGUCAGGCCCGGCCCGAGCUCGCCCAGGCCUGGCCAUGAACAGGUCUACUCAACUGUAACAUUUUAAUGAAAUUAAAUAAAUAUUAUCCUACUGCAUCUAUCCUUGACUGUUAAUUAUUAUUGAAAAAGUGGCAUGACAUAUUAGUGACACAGAUUAUAUGUUUUAAGUAUUUACCAACCUCAAGCAGUGUUGGCACUGCCACUUUCUCGGUCCAUCGCAUACAUUUUUGCUUCACGUAAAUAAUAAAUAUUUUAUUCUUAUAUGAUUGGCUUACGGAUAAUUUUAUUCAAACAAAUUUAUCUAGAAAUAUAGUGAUUAUUUAAUUAUUAUUGUUAUUAUUAAUAUUUCAUUUAAAAUUAAUAAGAGCUCUAUUAUUUCUGAAUAAAAGAAAAUGAGUAUGAUGAAAACAUUUCUAUUCAUCGUACAGUUAAAAAGUAAAUUAUGACAUAUUGAAUAAUACAUAUAACAUUAUAUCUUUCAGCAUGAAAUUGAAAAAGAAAAAAGAAGAAUCGUUUUCUAUCCAAAAACACUAUAUUCAAACAAAUAAUUGUGCAACUGUUUUCUGCCAAAAAAUCACUACUAUCAUUUUCACUUAUAUUACUGGCCGGAAGCUUGAAUUUAAUUUUUCAAUAUUUUACCAAAACUCUUACUGCUUGAAUUGCAAAAAUCAUUUGAACCAGAAACCCAAACUAUAGAGACUGAAAAAUUAAUGCAACUUUGCCAAAAAACCAAAAGACGACUCCGCUGGGAAUCGAACCCAGAAUCUCUGGUUCCGUAGACCAGCGCCUUAUCCAUUGGGCCACGGAGUCACCUGCUUUUUUUUGUACGACUAAUAUUCUAAACCGAGGUAGUGAUGUAAAUCUCCCCCGAGCGUCCCUCAACUUGGUACCUAGCGUGAGCUAGUUGAUGUUAGUUGUCUGCAUAUCUGUAAUAUAUUUGUCGAAAUGCUAUAUUAUUAUUCGAAUAGAUUUUGUCAGUUACAAUUAAAUCUAAAACCACCAAGUCCUCAUGCGUUGAUUUUGGAUUUUAUUUUUUAUUUUUUUUGCAUAUAUUAAUUUAAGCAUUUAUAUCUUGAAGCAUACUCUGGUAAAGCUAGCUUGUGGAUUUGUAUUAGAGAUUUUGUUUUAUAAAGUACAAACAAAUCAGAGUGGCGCAGCGGAAGCGUGGUGGGCCCAUAACCCACAGGUCCCUGGAUCGAAACCAGGCUCUGAUAUAGAGUAGCUUCCCUGUCUAUUUCUUUUCUUUUCUAAAAUAAAAUACUUUAAAAAAAUUGUUUUGGACCACAUUGUUGAAUAAGUAGGUGAAAUAUUUUGAAACGUCAGUCUCCCUCUUGAUCACAUGUCAAUCUUAUAUAUCAAAAAGCCAUGACUCAAUCUCCUUAAGUACCAGAAAAUCCAUUUGUUGUUUCAUAUGCAAUUGAUUCAUUUCUUCUUUUGCAACUUCAUCGUUCCAAGAAUCAAAUGCAUACGUAGACUCUGUGCUACUUUGGACAUAUAUGACAGGUAUCUGACGAUGAUCAGUUCUCUUUGAAUUUAAAAGAGGAGGUGGAGAAGCUGGGUUUCCAAUAUUAUUGCCAGUUAGCUGCUGAACAAGGGUCUUGAAGGUUGAGCUAUCAGUGAUAUAAACAUGGGGUCUUAACACUUUUAUUAGACUCUGGAAUUUCUUCUGAUGAUGAUGACGACGACGAUGAUCAUUCUUGGAUAUUUUCUUCUCCAUCUUCAGAUAAAAUGAACGUUAAUUGGCUUUGGUAUUAGCUUCACUCCUAUCACUUGCCUUGCAUUACCUGAGGCUCCUAAGACCUUUAUAUAUAUGCAUAUAUAUGUAUGAAUGUCAGGAUGAUGGGUGGAUACAAUAUUUAUUACUUAAUGAUGGUCAGAAUGAUGUUGAAAUAUGCUCUUUUUAAAAAAAAAAAAAAAAAGAAAAAAGAAAAUUCUGUCUAUUUAAGGAUGUUAAAACACUUGUUAUUUAGUAAACAUGCGUAUGUUUUAUUUAUGUAUAUAAAUUUACAAUUUCAAUUAAAAUAUUCACUAUUAAUAAAAUAAUUUAUAAGUUUAUGUGUGAAACAGUAGCAACUUAUCAUCAUUGCAUAUUAUAAUUAAUUAACUCUUCUUGCCAAAAGAGUUUUUGUGUAGAAUCCGGUCAAUGACUUGCUUUCAGCAAUGAAAAUGAUAUAAAUGAAUUAUUAAAUGUGUAUUACAUCAAAGAAUAAAGUAAUGAACAGAAUAUAUAUAUAUAUAUAUAUAGUAAUGUCAGUUAAUCAUAUUUUAAUAAGAAAAAGGUCGGUCUGAAACAAUAUAAUUGGGGGUGUGUUGCUUUCAUUCGAUUAGGGUCAGUGGUCAACAAAAUCAACGUAUCCAAAUCAUUUGGAACACAAAACGAAAAUGUAAUAUGUUCUGUUAUGAAUAUAAUUUUGGUCUGAAUUAUUUCUCUUUUUGGAGUCUGCUUCAUCUCUAAUAAUAAUAAUGAGAGACAUGAAUAUAAAAAUGAACUUGUAUGUAUGGUCAAAAUAAAUUAUCAGUCCAAUUUCUUUUCUUUUUUUUUUUAAAUAAAAUAUAACUUAAUGAUAAUAGUAGUAUAAAAUAAUUAUUUUUUUGUUUGUUUAUUUAUUCAACAACAACAAAAAGUAUAUUAGCUGUUGUCAGAUUGAAAACAAAUAAAUUGUAAAUUGUAACCUUAAUGUUAUUGAGGAUUUGGAUUGGGCCAAUAAAACUUCUUCUUAUCAACCUGAACCAUUUUUUCCAUUUCUAUUUAUAUUCAGUGAUGCAUGUGGCCUCCUAUGAGUUAAAAGAAAAAAGAAAACAUAAAAAUCAAUGGCUUUUCUUUUUGUUCUAUUUUUCUUUUAAGGAAUUUGGGAGGGGCAGGAAUUGCUCUUUUGGUAUUGCUUUUAUUGUCAUAUGGUCUUUGAACGAAAAUGAUGGGUCAUUACAUAAAUAAAAAGACACCGAAAAUGAUGGCCAGCAAGCAAUAUGGUACCUUUAUUAUCUCAUUAUUAUCUCCUACUUAAAGUCAAAUAAUAAUUGGUUUUUGUUUUUUAAAGCUAUAUAAUAAAGCAUGUUCUUAAUGGUCUUGGUCUGAUUUUUUAACAUGAAAUUUUAAAUAUUACUCAUCAUAUUGUUGCUUUAUAAAUGUUAAAUAUUUAAAAUUAAUAAAAGAAAUAAAUGAAAUUUCCCAUGAACUAAAAGGAAAUUGUUUUUUUUUCCUUACAUUAUCCAAUGUGGCAUUUGAUUAUGCUAAAGGGAAACUCCUUUUUUUUUCUUUUCUUUCUCUACAUAAGAAAUACAAAUUCAAACUCCAGAAUUUCCAUAAAUUGUUGCACAUUUAAUAAAAAGAAUCAAGAGCUGGGUUUGCUAGAUGUUGUUCUAGUGGGUUCGAACUCUCACAAUGGCCAGCAAAACUUGUAAUCUCCUGCUCAAUCUGAGGAUUACCAUUACCAAAAGAAAAUGGCUCGUGAUCAAUAUCUAAAAGCCAUGAUUCAAGCCCCCAAACUGCUGGCAGUUCCAUCUGCUGAUUAACUGAUGAAUCAAAUGCUGCGAUAUCUUCAUAAAUUUGGUUCCACGACCAUUGAUUUAUUUCAUCAUUUAGAGCCACGGCUGAGUUCCAUGAACUCAAUGACUCAAUGGACGCAUCGAAAGAUGCCUCCAUGCUACUUUCUUGUUCCUCUCCUCGGAUUUCAUNNNNNNNNNNNNNNNNNNNNNNNNNNNNNNNNNNNNNNNNNNNNNNNNNNNNNNNNNNNNNNNNNNNNNNNNNNNNNNNNNNNNNNNNNNNNNNNNNNNNNNNNNNNNNNNNNNNNNNNNNNNNNNNNNNNNNNNNNNNNNNNNNNNNNNNNNNNNNNNNNNNNNNNNNNNNNNNNNNNNNNNNNNNNNNNNNNNNNNNNNNNNNNNNNNNNNNNNNNNNNNNNNNNNNNNNNNNUACAUGAAGAACUGGAGGACCUAUAAAUACGAAAGAAAUGUAGUCAGGAUAGAUAUGAAGAUGCUGGAAAAUGAUAUGUAUUAGUUAAGAUUAGGUCUUGAAAGAUGCUGAAAAUGAUGUUGCUUCUCCACUAGGUUUUCAUGAUAGGAGUCCAAAUAAAUCUCUUCUUAUCUCAGAAAUGAACUACGACUUGACUAAAAUAUCAAGGAAUGUGCUAAGGCUUGUUGUUACAUGAAAUAUAUAUAUAUAUAUAUCUAUGCACAAGUUGGUCAACACAUAUAUGAUGUUGCUUUCAGAAUUAAGAAGAAAACUUUCAAGUAUGGAUCUAAUAUUUACAUAUAUAUAUAUAUAUAUAUAGAUGCAUGUGUAACCAGCUAAAAGGCUCUGAUUCUGAUGAAAUAUAAAGACGUAAUCCUAGCAAAAUAACAUGUAGAUAUAUGCAUGUGCAUGACUAGCUAAAUAUUACAUCCUUUUGAAUAUAAAGAAUAAAAACAUCAAAAAUAUGAUUUUUUUUUUUUUAAUUUUCUUAAAAUAUAGUUUUGGUUGUUUUUCUAUUUUUUUAUAGUACAACAAAAAAAAGAUAACUAAAUAAUAACUAUAUCUUAUUUUUUAAAAUAAUAAUAUUUUUUUAGAAAAGAAUUAUACAGUAGGAAUGAUAAUUUUUUAUUAGUUUUAAAAUAUUUUGAAAAAUUUUCUAAAAUUUUAUAUUUGAAAAGCGAAUAGACUUCAUAGUAAUUUUAGUCAAAUUUCAUAUGUCCAAAUUUAAAAUUAUCGGACAGAUUUGGGAAGGCUAAGAGGUACUCAAAUCUUCGGACAAAGUAAGAAAUAAAUAAAAGACUAAAAAAAAGAAAAAGGAAUUCAAAGAGAAUAAAAUUGAAAAGCACGAAAUGAGCAUUCUCGGAAAAAGGGAAAAAGAAUGUAUGAAUAAGAAUAUGGAUAAGAAAUGGGGCAGUGAUGUCGUUUCGGUAGCCUUUCUGUUUGGUGGGAUGGGCCUGCAUUUCCAUAAGGCUUCUCUUUUAACCCCAUCCUCUAAUCCCUUGACACCUCAACGCCUACUUACUCCACGUGGCCCUCUCCAGCGUCGUCUCGAUGAGUCCCCCCCCGCCAUUCCAAUCAUUUCAAAUUAUGGACUCACUUUUUUAUAUUUUUAUUAACAGCAUAAAAUUAGUUACUGCUAAAUCCCCAAGCCUAAAUUUAUUUACAGUAUGUUUGAAAAGAAAAUGGGUAGGGAAAAUAAAAUAAAGGAAAAAUAAGAAAUAAAAGAAGAAAAAUAGUUAUCUUUUAAAAAUUUAAAUUAUUAUUAUAUAUUUUAUUUAUAUAAUAAUAAAAAUUAAAAAUAUAUAUAUGUAUAUAUAAUUUUGAAAAUAAAUAUACAAAUUUAUUUAGUUUAUACUUACAAAACCUUUUUCCUCCAAGCUUUCACUCCACAAAAGAGGAGAAAAUGUCUUUUGCGAGGCCAGGUGAUUUUUUUUUAUUGAUGGGCCAUCUCUUUUCAUUUUUUUUUCUCUUUUUUUGAGAUUAAAAAAACUGUUAUUAUUAUUUUAAUUAUAAAAUUAAAUUAAUAAAUAUAAUUUAAUAAAAUUAUAAUAUUAUAUAUUAAUAUAUAAUAUUUUAUAAAAUAAAAAAAAAUUAUUUUAUUAGUAUAAUAAUAUAAAAAUUAUUUUAAAAAUAUUUAGUUAUAUAAUUUAAUACUUUUGGUAUUACUAUUUAUAAAAUUAAGAUUUUAUUAUACAAUAAAAAAUUAAUUUAUUAUUAAAUAAUAUUAAAAAUAUUAUUUUAUAAAAUUAUAAUUAUUAUCUAAUUAAAAAUUAAUUUAUUAAUUAAUAUAAUAUUAAAUCUUAAUUAAUAUAUUAUUCUUAGGAUAAAAUUAAUAUCAUUAUUUUAUAAAAACUAUUUACAUUUUUAAUAAAUUUAAAAAAUAUUUAUUAAUUAAUAUAACAUUAAAAUAUAAUUAAUAUAUUAUUUUUAGAAUUAUAUUUAAUUAAAAAUAUAACUUAUUAAUAAAAAAACUAUAAAAUUGUACAUAAAUUUAAAUUUUAUGUUGUAAAAAUAGUAUAUAUAUAAAAGUAAAAAUUUUAAAUGUUAAAAAUUAAGUAUAUGUAUUUAAAAAAAUCUAAAUUUUAAAAAUUAAUAUAAUAAAUUUAAUCCAUUUUCUUUAAUUUUUCACGCUCAAUUCUUUCCCUAGCUUCCCCCCGUUGCAAACAAAAGUUUGAAUUAUAUUAAUGGUGUCUGACAUUUGCUUUCUGUCUCAUUAAAAUUUGAGAAGCGUCAAUUUAUAAUAUAAAGCUCUUUUAAUGUCAUAUUACGGAUGAAUGGUUAAUAAAAUGCUGUGGGAUAUAAAAUAAAAAAUUAUUAAAAAUAAUAUAUCAAUAAGACUUAAAAUUGAAGACAAUAUCUAUGGUGUCUAUGGUUGGAAGUAAAAAAAAGGUAAGAAAAUAUAGUGGUGAAUCAGUGAUAAUUAAAAAAUAAAAAAAAAUUAAUUAAGCGGCUUGUUUAAUUAUCUAAAAAAUUAUAUAUUAUUUUUAGUUAUUUAUUUAUUUUAUAGUUCGUCAGUAAUUGGUAUAGCAGUAAUAUGAUAACCAUUCAGCAGAAUUUAGUGUUACCUAAUUUGCGAUUGGAAGAGUUUUAUAUUU
RNAcentral lists this long non-coding RNA (53280 nucleotides) under Ricinus communis (castor bean). RNAcentral describes it as "long non-coding RNA (RCOM_LNC000373)". The stretch from base 47880 to 47951 matches the Rfam family "tRNA". Lineage: Eukaryota; Viridiplantae; Streptophyta; Magnoliopsida; Malpighiales; Euphorbiaceae. The record is from RNAcentral.